RNAcentral lists this long non-coding RNA (58854 nucleotides) under Xyrichtys novacula (pearly razorfish). The record is from RNAcentral. Lineage: Eukaryota; Metazoa; Chordata; Actinopteri; Labriformes; Labridae.
UGAUCAUAAAUGUUCUUCCUUGAGCUGCGUCACCCCGCUGUAGUCCGUAAUGGACUGGCCUGAGGUCUUGUUACAAACAAGCGGCUGCUGGAAGAGAGUAGGUGAGUUGUGUUUAGUCUCUUUGCUAAAGAAAUGAGUCAAAGUUAAAAAGAUGUUUGGUGUCUAGUACUAUGGCUGUGACCCUAUAUGUCCUGUUGAUGAAGUUAGGUGCUGUUCUGAGCAUUAUUUGUGGCUAUAGAGUGGCGUUUUGGUUGAGCGUGUGGUUCUCUGUAUUACUAUCCUGCGGUCGUUACUAAAGUUGGUAUAACUAGAGAAGCAAGCUGUUUGCAACAUUCAUCUCUCGACAGAGUGUCUAAUUCGGUGUCACGGUGUGUUUGACCCUAAAUUAAUUUUACACCAGAAUAUCCCUUUAGGUUGAUUCAAAGCCUUUCAAAUUAAAAGCGAUUACACUUGGAGGUACGUACUUUUACCUAAGACAAAAAUACAAAACGGGAUGACCACUUCAAACAAACCGGAGCGCCGUUCCUCUCAGUGGAGGUCCGCAGUCAGACCGCUCUAAAAGUGUUGGCCCGUUAAAUGACCCAAAAAUCACCUUUAAUAAGAUGCAAACAGAGCGUCACCACUGCAGGCAAGACUUCCCAUCCAGCCCCUGCAACUCACAUGCAACCAAAACACACUGGCUACCUCGUGUACUUCCUAAAACCCACAGCUUACACUCACAGAACUGUAAAACAAAAUAGAAGUGUUUUGUAGUGUGUAACUCUUGUCAAAGCGCUGGUGGGUUUUGGCCUCCAGGCUUGCCGUAGGCUCCUUCUUUGAGCUGAGUUUUUGCUGUUUAGUCUCUGCACUCGUCCUCUAAAAGUGCUGUACAUUUCUUCAGCUCAGGCAGAAAUUAUUGAUUAUUUGGGCCAAAAAUCCUGCCAAGAGCCGGACCAAAACAGAACAGUCUGUUUUUUUUUUUUUACCCCCUGUUACUUAAAAUUCGGCCGAACAUUGCAUCUUCCAGAAGUGAGCACAACUUCUGAAGAAAGCGUUUGUUCAUGUAUUUUUAACAACUUCUACUUUUUUAUCUCUACAUAUUAUAUCUGUCUUUGUUUUAUCGCUGUUUGAUAUUGUUUUUAAGUUCGCAGGAUGACUGAGAGGUUGUGAAAUUUUACGUUUGAGCUUCGUCGAGCUUGAUCACUCUCUGUGUAACUCACGGUUUUAUGGAACAAAUAAACUAUUCAGUCCAACAUUGAUCAACAGAAACAAGCCGAUCGAUGUAGGAGGAUCACAGAGAAAUGCAAACAACAGCAAAACACAAACAGAAUCUCAAAUUCAGAAAGGAGGCAACAUAAAAGCUUCAGUGGAGGAGAUGUGCAAAAUAAAUCCACAUCCAAAAAUCCUGUUCAUGACGUUUGUGUUGGAGCUCGUCUGUGCAGAUCUUUUUAGGUCUAUAAGUGGAUCUGAAUCUUUAUAAACUGUCAGGAUUCAGCCUGCUUACCAGAGGUGGGGGCUUGAAGACUCGACUUGAGACUCGACUUGGACUAGAGUCCCGUUUUUGACUUCCUUGAUGAAAUCAAGAAAAAAGUCUUUUCAAGUCACUUAAUACCUUACAGCCCAAACCGUUUAAAAAGUGUCGCAUCAACUAAUAGUCAGGAAUGACGGCCGUUGGUAACACCGUGUUGUGUUGCCAUGUCUGCUUAUUCCCCUCAAAAAAAAAUUUGCUUGUUUUUGUCUUGUUUCUGGAGGUCUGUUAACUUAUUUCUCUCACCAAACUUGGCAACACUGUCUCAAACUCUAGCCUCCCUCAUAACGACAACACCGGGAGGACUGAACAUAAAUCGCUCGCUGGUAUUGCCCGCCUGUUUCCACGUGUUUCCUCGUGUCUCUCUUUUGUUUUGUUUUGGAACAGUGAAUUAGAGAAUCAGUUUAAUGUUUAAUUGUAUUUGAGUCUUCCUUAUUUUUGUGCACAUUGUUUAAGUUUCCAGUUAUUGAAGUUUAUCUGAUUAUUUUUUGUAUGACAUGUAAAAUAGUUUGGUUAAAGCUGCACUAUGUAACUUAACACAAACAAGAACCCUUGUUUAAUAAUAAAUGCAAAUAGGGAAAAAUGCUCAUGAUUUAUGUAAAUCUUUACAAAUAACAAAUGGUUUAUGGCUUUGAUAUGACUUAUUUUUGACUUGAAAGAAACAGUAAGGACUUGGUUGGGACUCGAAACAAAAAGUUCAAGACUUGGACUUGACUUGAAACUUGUCUGUGUUGACUUGGACUUGACUGGAGACUUGAGAGCAAAGACUUGAGACUUGACUUGGACUUACAACAUAAGGACUUUCCCCCACCUCUGCUGCUUACUGUAAUUUAAGUCUCCAUCAUAUAAGUGAGUCCACAACCUCAAAGGUGAAUCAGAGGUGGAGAGGACUGUGAAGGAGGCGUGAGAGAAAAUGAUGGGCCGGAGCAAACACGCCAUGACUUCUGGAAAUAAAGCAGCAGUGUUAUAUUUUCCUUAAAAUAAAACAGAGAAUAGAAAAUGGGUUUAAGUUAAUGUAAAAAAAAUGCAGAACAGACCAGAGGGGAGAUAAAGACAAAGAAAAAAGAUGUGCUGCAAUAAUAAAAUAAACCAACGUUUGUACACAUGCAUUAUUUGUUAAUGGGAUCCAAUAUUAUGUCGACUGCUAUUCAGGGCGCUCCACAGUUCGUUUUAAUCCUGCAGGUGCUUCCUAUGACUGUAACUGCGCGGCUUCAAUCCGCUGAUCGUCUUUGGAGGAACAAAAAUAGUCCAGCGUCAACCCAGCAGUGGUGUAAUGUUAAAAUGAGCUCUCUCUAAGAGGCUGUUUCAGCCUGUCUUAUGACUCUGAUUUUCUCUGAUGUGACUGUGAAGUGCUCUGUGAUGGGAGUUCAGCGGCUCAUUUCGCUCUUACCGUUUCUGAAUGUUUGCUCAUUUAACGCCGUUUCCUGCUUUAGUCGUUCUGACGAAUCACAGUAAGCAUCGCUCUUACCCUGAUAACUCACCUGCAGUUUGUUUUCUAACUCCUGUUUCCAUGCAAUAAAUAAAGUCGAGCUCUCAUAUUUCUGUCAGGUCUUCCACAGAAAUGAGUUCAGGUGCAAGGCCUUUUUUUUUGUUUUGUUUGUUUUAGCAUCUUCAUCAUGUUUGGAUAAAGUAUUUUACUGUUUCCAGGCUUUUUGCAUGAGGUACUUCUGCAGCCAUGAACCAAAUCUCCCAUCACCUGUGCCUCCCCUGUAGCUUUUAUCCUGCAAAAUAUUUUAUAUGUAAAUAUGAGUAAAAGUGGCCGAGAGAUAAACUCUGAACUAUCAUCCCCACUCUGAUUCAGUGCUGCUGCAACUGCAAGAAACACUGGAGGGCAGCAGCAGCCUGUGCAUGAAAGAGAGCAGCUUCAAAAUCUGAGACUCAGACCAGGAGGAGUGGAGUUCAGGUUUUUCUCUCCAGGGUCUUCUUACAGACACAGAUGGGGGGUUUGACAGGUAACAGGUCUUUACCAAUCAGUGAUCAAUCAGCCAAGAUAAUUCUGCAUCUGAAAAUACUCCAGUGAAAAAAACAGAUUGUGAGGGAAGAGAAAGGUGCAUCAUUCCCCGUGUUUAUGAUAGAGAGGGAAUUUUUAACAGGGAAUUUGGAGCACAAGGUGGACAAUCAUCAUCAUCAUCCUCAUCAUCAUCAUCAUCAUCAUCAUCAUCAUCAUCAUCAUCAUCAUCAUCAUCUUCAUCAUCAUCAUAAUGGUUUGGUGAUCAUCAUCAUCCUCUUCAUCAUACUGAAUAUCAUCAUCAUCAUACUGAUCAUUAUUUUCAUCCUAAUCAUUAUCAUCAUCAUCAUCAUCAUCAUCAUCAUCAUCAUCAUCAUCAUCAUCAUCAUCAUAUUGAUCAUUGUCAUCAUCCUCUCCAUCACUAUCAUCCUCAUCAUCCUACUAAUCAUUAUUUUCAUCCUAAAAAUUAUCAUCAUCAUCAUUCUCUUCAUCUUCUUCAUCAUCAUCAUAAUCAUAUUGAUCAUUUUCAUCAUCCUUAUAAUUAUCCUCAUCAUCAAACUGAUUAUUAUUAUUAUUAUUAUUAUUAUUAUUAUUAUUAUUAUUAUCCUAAUCAUUAUCAUCAACAUUCUCUUCAUCCUCAUCUUCAUACUGAUCAUAAUCAUCAUCCUCUUCAUCAUCCUCAUUUUGUUUAUCCUCCUCCUCAUCAUCAUACUGAUCAUUAUCAUCAUUAUCAUCAUCCUCAUAAUCAUCAUCUUCAUCAUCAUACUGAUCACUAUUAUCACUCUAAUUGUUACCAUCAUCAUCAUUCUCUUUAUCUCCUUCAUCAUACUGAUCAUUAUCAUCAUCAUCACCCUCAUCAUCAUAUCAAUCAUCAUCCUCAUCCUCAUAAUAAAUAUCCUCAUCAUCCUAAUAAAUAUCAUCCUCCUCAUCAUCACUAUACUUAUCAUUAUAAUCAUCAUAAUUAUCAUUAAAAUCAUCAUCCUACUAAUCAUUAUUUUCACCCUAAUAAUUAUCAUCAUCAUCAUUCUCUUCAUCUUCUUCUUCAUCAUCAUAAUCAUAUUGAUCAUUAUCAUCACCCUUAUAAUUAUCCUCAUCAUCAAACUGAUUAUUAUUAUUAUUAUUAUUAUUAUUAUUAUUAUUAUUAUUAUUAUUAUUAUUAUUAUCAUCAACAUUCUCUUCAUCCUCAUCUUCAUACUGAUCAUAAUCAUCAUCCUCUUCAUCAUCCUCAUUAAUAUCAUCAUCAUCAUCAUUCUCUUUAUCCCCUUCAUCAUACUGAUCAUUAUCAUCAUCAUCACCCUCAUCAUCAUAUCAAUCAUCAUCCCCUUCAUCAUACUGAUCAUUAUCAUCAUCCUCAUCCUCAUAAUAAAUAUCAUCCUCCUCAUCAUCACUAUACUUAUCAUUAUAAUCAUCAUAAUUAUCAUUAAAAUCAUCACCCUCAUCAUCACCCUCAUCUUCAUCGUCAGCAGCUCUGUCAUUUUAAAAACACUAACCAGAGACAGCAGCUCCAGCUCUGCCCUAAUAAUCCUUUUUUUUAAUAUGAGAUGUUCUCAGAUGUUACUGUCAGCUCCCCGCUGGGAACUGCAGUCAGGAUGGACCUGUUUACAGCUGUUACCGUGGCAACAGCAUAUGGACGGGACAACCAGAUUGGCCUUGUGUGUUUGCUGAGACGAUGGUCAGGCUGCAUAUUUCUAAAAAGGACCGGCGAUGAAAAAACAUGUUUUUUUUUUCUUCUGUUUGUUUGUUGUUUUUAUUUAGAUGACGGGGAACAUUUUACCGACCAGUUUCUCCAAAAAUGAAACAAAAAUCUCCGAUCAAAGUGAACAAGACGGAGGUGGCCUCCAGCUUCAAACACAACAUGACUGCAUUUGUUGUCAGCAUUCAAAGGAAGCUAUGAAAGAAGAAAACGGAGGACCGUAGUGACUGCUCCAGGUAGACAUGUCGAGAGGCAUCUUCUUUUUAAAGUACAUAAAAAAACGAAAAGAGUUGAUUUGUUGAAUCAUCUCUCCGUACUCCAAACUCUCUUCAGUGUCUCUCGGUCUUGUUGCUCAAAGCCGUCUUUUCAUUAGUCAUGAAACUGUUGUUCAACAAACACAAAUAAAAACAGAAACUUUUAUUUGUGCCACUUCCUGUUUUCAGAGCAAAGACACUGACUGCAUCAGCCGAUCAGUUAUCACUUUUAGAUUUCACUUUUUUGUCCACCAAGGUAGGUGUGUAAAACCACCUGAAUCAAGAAUCGUCAAUAACUGGAAGAUAAACAGUCAUUAAUAGUUGAAGGAUUAAACCUGAUACCAGAUUAAUUCUUCUGAUAUAUUUGGUUAAAACGCUCUCCUGAAUUUUUAAAUCUUUCUUUUUUAGAAAAGCGGAAAUUUCCCCGGAUUCGUGACCUUAUCAGGCGAGGAAACUCACAUACUCUGGUCGACUCGCCCAGCAGCGACUUUCACUGCCAGGUUAAAUCACUGCGUGUGACAGGUGGCUGACAGGCAAAACACACAAAACAAACGGCAAAACACACACACACAUACACACACGAUGCCGAGGAAUACGUCCAACUGCAGGGACAGAUGCAAAUGGCUGGCUGCCUGGAACAGCGUCGAUGCUAACGGCUGCUACGCUCCACGGAUAGAUCUGCUGUUAGCUCCUGUGUUUGUCAAAAAGACGUCAGAACAGCUGCAGAGAAAUCAGCUCCGAAAAUCAACGUCAGCUGCAGGGGAAGGAUGCUGCCUCCUCUUUUCCACCCUACAAACAAACUAUUUCAUUCUUGAUUCAAACUAGUCUUUAUUUUUUUAAACUUUGACGACUUUACCACGGUGUUUGGUGUCGUUUUUCAGCCCCAGGUAACGCCUGUGUUGUUCCAUCAGUCUGAACGCUCUCAAACAUAUUCCCCAAGCCGUGUUUAGAAAUGUUUGGGUGACCGCAGCCUGUAUAAAGAAGUGAAAUAGCCUCCAGGUAUGAAUGCAUGUUACUUUAGAUUUUCUGAAUGAGGCGACUGGGGGUGUUUAUAAAGUGAAGUGUGCCAUAAAAGUGUAGAAGCUGCAGCACCUUCACGACAAUGUUCAGAAACGGGAAAGAAAAUAAUAGAUUUCUCAACUUUAUUGGAUUAAAACGAAAGCGUGAAAACUCACAGUUUGAACACAUGAAUCAGACAUACUUAAAGCCGUGGUGUAACAUCUACUUGCUGAUUCGUGGAGACCUUCCAUCACGCCGUCUGGGUUCGCAACUCACUUUGAGAUUUCAGACUCCUGGGGUCUCUUUUGUAAACGCUUGUUACGACCCGGGAGAAUGGUUAGGGGAAGAUGGGAAGUAACAAUAAAUUAAAACGGGCAGGAGAGACUAAAUGAAGAGUGGGAAACAGGGAAUCAGAAUAAUUGAGUAAUUUAUUUACAAUCAAAAACGAAAAACAAAAAGAUCAAACAACUAAAAGCGAGCAUGAGGCCGGUUAUAAGAAACACCACAGGCUCCUGCCACCGGAAAACCUGGACUUCAAAAAACACCAAAACGCACAAGAGUGAAACACAGUCAACAAUCGGGUGGUCUGCAAAGUUAAUCAAAGUUAGUUAAUUUCAUGAGAAAAUACGAGCGUGUCAUCCCUUCAAUAUUUCACCAUCUUUGAUUGGCUUGUUUCUUGAAAUCACAGAGGUAAAAACAGACAUUAACCCGCCGGUUAAACUCACAAAGACUUCGUCCAGUUUCAGGUCGGGUAACUGUUGCACCAUUUGCACAGAGCAUGUAAAGUGAAUGUUCAUGUAUUAAUCCAACUAUACUGGGUGGUAUAGAAACAGGAGCUCUGCAUAAUGGUUUCAACCCUUCAUUUUUUGCAGUGGUUACUUGGAAACCCACUGAGAAUGUUUUGGUCGAAUAGACGUCUAAAUGUAGACUAGACGACUGAUCUAAAAUCAGGCUACUUCACGUCUAAAAAUGAAAGUUUUUUAGACAUUUAGACUAAAUCUAAAUCUGGUCUAUCUCUAUACUACACUGUAUAUUGCUCAACAGCCAUCAUAAUUAUUUUGGUUAAGUACUUUGAGAUCGGUUUUGUUACUCACAGUUGCUUUCUGAAAUAAAUAGUUAUGGACUAAUGGGUUAAAAUGCAACGUCUAAAUCUCGUCUAAAAAUACACAGAAUCUAGACGGUUGAAAUUAGGUCUAAAAAAAACCCUCAAAUUGCUCAGUGUUAAGAUUUAAGAGCAAAGGCAGCCUCUGUAAUAUACAAUUAUUUAAGGUUUCAUAGAAACGACUGAAAGCGUGGGACGAAUAAGAAAGAAGAAACCACAUGAAAUAAUCCUUCUAUCGUCCUCCACGCCUCCCUGAGACUACAUGUUGGAUAUCAUGACCAAACACUCCGAUAUCUGUCAGCCUUUGUUUGCACCAAGAGUUGAAAUGAAAGCAGAAACAGACUUCGUAUUCUUCGUGUGCCAAGUCGAGUUCACUGAGAGAGGCACGAACGGGAACAGCUGGAGGUGACUUGAAUAAACCAUCUCCAGCGUUUCUUCCAAGAACUCGAGCGAGAUGAAACUGAAUCAGAGAUGGAGAUGAAGAAGCAGAAUCUCUUCAAGUCUUCUCGAAGUGGAUGACAGGGCGGGGACGUUCAACAUCCUCAUGAAACUAAAUCCAGAUCAUGAUGAAUGCUAUCUGCUUCUAUUGGACUCGUGACGUUGUAGGAAGAUUUGAAAUACAGCGUAGUUAAGGUCGACCUUCCAGCGCAGGACUUCUUGAAGACCCUCGAAACCUGAACAGACAUAGACCAGCUACAACGGAGAUUAAAAACCCACUUCAAUGACAAUCAUGUUUUUCUUGUUUUUUACAUGUUCAUAUAUUUAUUUUUCUGACGCUACAGGACAUAUCAUGAGGGAAAAAUAAGCGCGAAACUGCCAAACUCGGAGAAGAGAGAGGAAGAUCGCGGAGUGUGCAGAGCAGCGCUGUCUCCGCCCACGACUCAGAGGCGAAUUACUAAUGAUCUACUGAAGAAGGCUGUGUCCAAAAUGGAUCCCUAACCUUCAUAUAGGCGACUAUAUGGGGGUUAACGGCAUUUUGAGGGGUGUCCGAAACCUGAGGGAUCAAUUCCAAUGCCCCAUAUAGGCGACUCAAAAUUCACCUAUAGAGCAUUGCAAAAUGUAGUUACCAUCCGAUGGUCACUCACCGGUGGUCGGCAUCCUAUCAUGAAUUGAGUGAUGCGUCAUGCAAGCAAGAAGAGACAGAACCCGAGCUCUAUUUGUCAUUUUCAGCGUAAGUUUUUUAUCGUCACUUCACUCACAAGUUUUCGAGAAACAAUUGUUUACUGCGUGAUAAAGUCUCGUGCAACAAUAUGACGCAGCAAACAAUAUUCAGCAUGAAAAUAUAAGGCCUUUUAAAUAAAUUAUUAAUUUAUUGUUAUUUUAUUUUUUUAUUUUUUCAUUUCACGAACAUCCUGGAAAAACAAACACAUCUAUACAACAUCAAAAAAUUCAAGAGAUGUGAAAACAACAGACGCAACUUCAGACGCAGCAGUCUGAGCAGUGACGUGACAACGGUGCGUCGUGUAGUGUCUGAAAUGUUCUUUGAUUGAGCUCACGACAUAGUCAGAUAUAUAGUGACUCAGAUAACAUGAUUGUUUGGAGAAUUUUGGGGUUGGGCAUCCCUACAGUGAUUUUGGCUAAAAACUUCAGAAUCACAGUUUAAAGACCACUGAGAAAACUUUAAGUAGUGAAAAGAAAAACGAUCGGAGUAGAACUUAAAACUGUUUGUAAAUGUUUCCUUGAACCAGGCUGUAGAAAUGAACAUUUUAUUACAUUUCCACUCCUUAAAUUUGAUCUCACUGAAUCAAUCACAUCUAUACAAAGAAGCUGCAUUAGCUACCUUGAUUGUAAUUUGACAUCGCCGCCAUAUUGGUGAGGGCAUUUUGGGGCGGCAGUAGCUCAGGAGGUAGAGCGGUCGUCCAAUAACCAGAAGGUUGGCGGUUCGAUUCCCCCCUAUGCUGAGUCUGUCUGUUGUGUCUUUGGGCAAGACACUUAACCCACCUUUCUCCCAGUGUGUGUCCUCACUGGUGUAUGAUUGUCAGUGUGUUGUGCUGGUCGGAGAGGCUGUAGGCGCAGCCAUGUUUCCUUCAGUCUGCCCCAGGACAGCUGUGACUACUAAGGUAGUUUACCACCACCAGGGUGUGACUGUGCGAGCGAAUGAAUGAUGUAUCCAAUGUAAAGCACUUUGAGGGUCUCUGAUGAAGCGCUACAUGAAAUCUGAGUGUCGUUUAAUGACCGUACUGGUUUGGUGAACACACUGACCUAUCCUGUCUUGUCAAAGUUAUAAAACAUUAAACACAGAUCCGUCUGUUUUCUUCAAAAGUCUGCAGUUUUGUUUUUUUUUUCUUCCACCAAACCUCCACCAGAUGAAUCCUCUGAUAAGACGCACGCGCAGCCUCAGAGGAUGAACCGAUCCGACUUCCCUCUGCUCAGAAAGCUCCUUUCACUCAGAACUGAAAUCGUGAUCUUGAGCUGUUAAAACUGCAGAUAAACCGGCUUCAAAAGCAGCUCUGUUUCAGAGCGAAGUGAGUCACAAAUAUGUGGAUAAGAUGGCACAAGAGUCAAAUAGACGCCUGAAGGAACGAGCGGACGUGGAGAGACGAAAAAAUGUCUGCUGUGUCGAAUUAGCAUGUUGGUUUUUUGUUGUUUGUUGGAGAUAAAUGUUGAUUUACUCUCCGGGGUUCCACAGUCUGAGAAAAGCCCGGACGAGUUUUUUUUUCACAUGUGGGGUCAAAUGUUGUAAAGCUCAGUGACAGAGCACACUGUGGUCAAACACCAGCGGCUAGCAGGCAAUUUACUCCACACCAACAUUUAUUAGAGGCUAAGCUGCUGCUGCUGAUGGAGGUUUAUCUUCCAGGUUCGCUUCUGUCUCCCUGAUCCUCCGCUCAGACCUCCUCCUUCUCGUCUUUGUCUCUCCUCAUCCCUCUCUGCUAACUCCGACUCCAAAAUGCUCUUUUUUUUUUUUCUUUACUGUAUCGAACGUUUCUGAUGUCGGAUUUUUUUUGGCGUCUUUUUCUCAUUUCAGAUGUCUGCUGCUUUACAAAGCCUGUUUAUCAGAGUGAAUUGACAUUUCAUUUUCAUUUCGUAACUCAGUGAGACAGAUCCAUCCCGCUGACAUCCCUUUCUGCACACAGAAAAUGUGGUAGCAAUUUGAGGGGGCAGUUAGUGUUUGUGAUGUUGAUUGAAGUAUUAUGUCUAUUUGAGAGUUUUCUGAACCAUUCAUGCUCUUCGUCACAAUCUUCGUCUCUCGGGAGGUGGAAAAAGUACAUCCUCGUUCUCAGGGAAUGAAUCUGCUGGUAUUGAACUUGGUGUUUGAAUGACUAACAUGUACAGAAAGCUUCUGAAAGCUGUCAGGUUGUGUAUUAUCUACAACUUGAAGGCGAAUGCGACUAUUAAAAAGAGACCCCAUCUCUGAUUCUGAUAUUGAAAUGCUCAGAUUGUUAUCCGUCCAUAUAGAUGUAGACGCUCAUAUUCGAGGAGGAGAGACAGCUACUUCCUCUGAAAUGAGAAAUUGCUCUUCAAGAGUCAGUCAGCAGCGUAUUUGUUAACCGUUUAUUCACCACAAACAACUCAAACCUGCUACGGCAACAGGUUUUCUUUUGUAAAUAAUGCGUCUGCUCAAAACGCAUGCUUUUAUUUUUAAUCUCCAUGUUUCAAUCAGUGAAUAAACGCUGUGUUUUUGAACGUUCCUCUGUCUGUUGAGAAGGCAGCUCUAGUGGACACAUGAGGAACUGCAGUUUCUUUGCAUGUUUCUGCAGUUUCCUACCGGAUCCGUUUGUGAGGCGAAUUUUGUGGCGGAUUACAGACAGCGGGACUCGCAAGAUCUCACAAGAACCUGUGGAUUCAUGUUCAAUCUCACGAUAACGAGUUGUCUCUAUAAAGACAGACACAUAGACAUAUGAGCAGUAGAUUGUGUCCUUCCAGAGGAGGAAAUCUACUUCUAGACUUCUAGAAUCAGCAUCUCCUCAUCCAUGGUGUCAUCGGGGUGAAAUGACGUCUAAAAACCUUUCACUUGUUCGUCUCCGCCCGUUUGCAUGGUGUGAAAUACGAUCCUCCUGAAACACGGAGUGUUUUAUUUUGAAAAGAAGCCGGAUGUUUUAUUUUGUCUCUGUGCCCGACUUCCUUUCCAGCACGGGUUAAUCUGUGCUGAAUUUAUCCAGCAUGCUCCGGCGUCUGGAAAAAUUAGAACUCUUGCGAUCCGCAGCGGAGCGGAAAGACGCCGGUGGAAAUUGACAAAUUAACUUGAAUGGUUACGAUCAGCUACGGUCAGCGGAUACGAGCUUUUCGUAGCCGUUCCGGAUGUGGUGGAAAUUAGGGGUCAAACACACUGGAUGUGUGUUGAGCGCUCUGUGUCAGCUAUGUUCAACUAUGUUUCUGAUCGCCGCAGCAGCGCACACAGGACACGUUGCAGCAAGUAUCUGCUAAAGAUAUGCACCGAGUCUAUUUUCUCUGCUCCACGCCUCCAACAUGCGUCAAUCUACACAGAGAAGAUCGUUCUAGACAGGAUGUCAAAAACAAAAACCACACAUGUCAUCUGGUAAAUUUCAAAAUAAAACACUGUGUAUGGACUCCCGAUUGUGUAUCAGUUCGUGUAGAUGAGAAAUCCUUACUAGUUAUGGAUUUAUCGUUCAUAUAGAACAAUAUCGACUAUCCCGGAUCUAUGAGGACCACAACAGGACUUUCAGCUGCUAACUCUGUCUGAAGGUAACAGCACAGUAAAAAGGAACACACUCGUAAACCUGCACAAACCCAAACUGUAAAAUCAUGUUGCUUUUUCACGUAUAUCAGGAGCUUAACAGUCGCAGAUUAAAAUCCAAAUUAGCAGAAAAUUGACCGCAGAAAGAAAAAACAACCUGACUACGUUGUUUUCCGUUUACUGCUUCGCUCCAAACACGCUUCCAGUUGGCGAUGACGGAUCUGACGGAGCCUGGACAUUUUUCCUAUUUCCCUUCUUGCACGUCUACAUCUGUUUUCUAACAUCAAGGUUACCGAAAAGCUUUCCUCCUCGCUUUCACGACUAAAGUUCCUCCCUUCACUCGGGGGACUUCAGUGCCAUCGCCGCACUGAUCACUUGAAACAGAGGAAGGUGAGGAUGAAGACGGACUCUUCAGAUUCCUGGAGGUCAGUUUAUCUUCUCACCCGCCAAACAAGGACCGGCCCUCCAUCCCCUCUUGAAGCACACUGUUCCAGCUGCGUCCCCCUCCAUGCUUGACCCGUCUGCUCCGACGCUAAGCCAGGGUCAGAGUUCACGGCUGCAGCAGCUCUUUUGCUCUCGAAAUGUUCGGCGUUUCUUGAAGUGUAACUUUAGAAACAAUUCAAAGUUCUUUGUCGCAUUAACACACACGGUCCUUUAAUCCCACACCUCAUAUAGCUUUAUGAGCGGUUGGCAUUACCUGGGGAUGGAGUGUAAGCUCAGUGGCUGCAGAGGGAAAUCUGUGUGUGUGUGUGUGUAGAGCUGUAUGCAUGCUGUCAGAAACCCUAUUAAUCCAAGAGUGUAACUCCAGGGACAGGAGGUAAAGCUUUGUAGUACCUGAUGAAACAAAAGAAACCCCUGAACCCCCAAAGUUCAAAUGGUUUGCACUCACUCUGAGCAACUCUCUCCCAAAUGAAAAAAAAAGAAACACAUUAAAAUACGAGAAAACACGACUGCAGCAGAAUCCGAACCAACAAAUUACGACUCGAGCCUUGUUUAGGUGAGCAAAUAUUCAUCCCAUUCAUCCGAGAAGUGUAACUUGUUUGUCGGUCUCAUGCAGCAUUAAGAGGGAACAGUUGGACUACAUGGCUGUUUUAGGAAAAUAUUUGGAUUUGGCUCUUCAAUUUGGAGCCGUCGCCUCCGAUGUGGAGGAGGAGAUUUCCCAACAGUGAUCAUGUUGACACCAGAAUUUAAUUUGGACAAAGUGGGAGCCUCGGUAGAUUGCCCGACGAUGGCGCCAAAAGAUGGAGGGAACAGUUGGUGUAGUAAAUGUCUCUCCAAAUCAGUCCUGGUAAGUUAGAGAGCCAAAUGAAUGGGAGUGCUGUUAAUGUGAUAGUAGAGAUGUCUUUAUUAAAGCAUGAGCAUUAAUGCGCUGCCAUUACAAACCACUACUUACAAGCGUGAGCAGAUUUAGAGGCGUUACCUGAGGUCGAUUGAGUAAAUAUGGCGCUGCAGGAUUUCGCUCAGAGGGUGUCGAGACAGUUAGAAGAGAAGUGAAGUUCUGAAAGAAAGUCCAGUUUACAGAGUUUAGAGGAAACUGUUUAAGGUUUCAAACCUGAAAACCAAACAGUCAUUUUACACAGACCUGUUCUGAGGUAUUUAGAAAAAUUGUUUUCACUGUUUUUAAGGUUGGCGAAUGUUUGUCUUUUUCUGGAUAUUUAUUUAAAUAAUACCUGGAAAAGUGCGCAAGAAAGGACUCUACAGAAGUAUCAAACGCUUAAAAGUGUGGAGGGUACCUCAAAACGAGCUCGACACAGACUCUAAGUGUACAUUUUUUUUUUUUUUUACAUAGGUUAAUACUUUAAUACUUAAUCUUUGACACGGACCUGACUCUGUCAGAAAACUGUAUGUGAGGGCUGAAACAAAAGUCAAAAACACUGCCCUCUGUAGGCAGGGCCAGGUACUGCUUCCUGCCUUUAUAAGGCCACGUGUGGGCAAUCUUGGCAGAAUAACGGGCGCUUAAAACGGAGGUAGACCGGACAAGAGCUAAAAAGCCGGGUCAACAUAAACCAUGGGGGACGCUUGGGGAUCUUGGUGACCCUGUAACCUUUCUGCUGGACAGGUAAACCGCUUUAACAAAGUAAGACAAGUGUCUGUAACAGAAGUGUUUCUUGUCAAACGGACCUGCUGUAGCGUGUUGUAGCGCCAUCGCUAAACUGUCCUCCCUCGGGUCCUGGACUAUGUCACUUUAUCCUCGUUGUAGAAGUCCUGCAAACAUUGUGUUUGCUGGUAGUCUGUUGGCAUCUACAGUAGCACCGAUGCUUUUGACUUUCACCUUGACUGGGCCCCAUUUGUAAUGAUCUGAAGUAUUUAUCUGCAUUAUAUCUGAAUUUAACUGGAACGAUACAAGGGAGCAGGAGCGUCUGUUUGUGGGCGGGGCUUGAGGGGAAAACUGUUUGGGAGGGGUAGAGUUUACAUUCAAGAUUUCUCCUAAAAACUGGAACUAACUCAGAUCCUGACUACACCACCUUUAACUGUAGUUCACUACGACUGCCAAGUAACACCCACUUGUUUGUUGGAGUAAAAUAAGUUAAUUUGACUCAAAGAAUUUUAGUUGUAAUAUCUCGAUUCAAAGUUAUCUAUACUGAGAUACUUAAAGUACAGCUUACUCAUAUGAUAAUUUCACUUUAAUUGACACAAUGAAGUUAUUUUUCUUACUUUUCCUGAGGUCAUCGGGUUCCUAACUUCUUUAAAGUAAACUUAACUAGUUUGAGUUUAGAGUGUACCAAAAUAAAACCACUUCAGGUAAAAGUUUUGCUUGAUUGGAAAGAUGAGUGAUACCUCAAAGCCGUCCAUAUAAUAAAGAUAAAAUACCCGGACCGGACAUGUGUGGUUUACAAUCCGUCAUGUUCGGGUUCGGCUCCUCCGCUGUCAGACUUCACACCAUCCUGCCUGUGAGAAAAAGUCCAUCCCGACUCUGUUCCCCUCGAUAUUUUAAGUUAUGAGGAAAAUUGCAUCCUCAAGGGGCCGCUCAGUUCCAGCCUUAUUCUAUCUGGAUCUUAUCUCACACCACUUGAUUGAUUCGAUAUUGGAUCUGAUAUUGCAUGAAUGAGCUCAAAGAUGUAUAAGAUAUUUUGCGCUUUGAUGAGAGGCUUUAGACUUUUCUGCCAAUAAAACACCUUUGAAUUGAAAAUCAAAUCAGAGAGUGAGGGUGAGAGCGAUGUGCAGAUAUAAUCGUCUCUCUGCUUUUAUUAGCAGAUGGGUUUGCCAUCGGGCCGCACCAUUGGUUUAACCUCCUAAUCAGGUAUCGCCUCGCUCGCCCCGCUGCUGCUGCUGCUUCAAUUAAGGCCGAGAGAGACAGAGAGACAGAGGAAUAAUGAAAGAUGGCGGCGCAGAUGCAGGAAAAUGAAAGUGGCUGACAGAGACAGAUAGAUGGAGAGAUUCUCACGUAUAUGAAAGAGCUAACAGGAGAUAAAGAGCGGCGACGGAGGCCUGGAGGAGGAGAUUAUUGUUUAUAUUUUUCAUUUAGUCCCAGGUCUCAUCAUGUUUUUGUUUAUAUUCAGACUGUUUUCAGACUUCUAAACUAUAUACUUCUAAUAUUUUAUUAAAUCUCCAUCUCUGGGGUGCUGCAGUGAUGUUAUUCGAGCUGAAAUUCUUUCUUUGUUUUGUCAGUUUCACCCAGCAUGCGUCGACGCUCACCUCCCAUGACCCUGUGUCCUCGUUUGGGGACGCUACAUUUAGGUUUACCACAACUUUAUACUUAUUUCUGCGCAACUUGAACCUGUUGUUUCUGUUUCAAAACACUUUAAUGGACAUUUAUGAAUUUAAGGAAAAUAAACUGCAUCAUCUUUAAGUGGAAAAACAACUACAGGUAUGAGAUUUUUCGAAACCCCACGUCUUCAAACGCCACCUCAGCUGAGCUCUACCUGCAGGUUUUGACAUUUGGAGUCCCUACAGAAGCUCAUCAAACAUGAUGGAGACUCUCUGAAGUCCAGAUUCAGGCCUCUGUCAGGACUCGGGUUCCUCCCUGUGCAGGUUUCUAGCCGCCGCAGUGACCCGCCGUGGAAAUCCCCGUGUUCACUCUCUAAUUGCGCCUCUGUAAUGGAUCCGCCUGGGUGAGUUCGGCGCUGGCUGCGCUGUGCUGCAGGCGGAGACUCCAUCUUGGUUUAAUGGGGACUUUGUCAUUCAGGCCUGCAGCUCCCUGAUGCAAACAGCGAGUACUUAACCGGCUUGCUUUGCCUCCCUCCUGUCUUUAUUUUCUUCCUUAUUUUGCAUUCCUCGCUGCUCCCACCUGGAUUAUCCGCCCCUCGUUAUUUCCUUCUGCCUGGUUUCCACCUUCCUCCUCAUGUCUCGUGCAUUUAGAUGGUCUCUCUGUCGGUCUUACAGUCUUCCUCCGAUCUUCCCCCGAAUUAAUUGAACGUUUUCCCAGAAUUCCAUUAACGAGGUUCACUUUUUUUUUUGCUGCUAAACAGCUGACAUCCGAACCCAUCUGAUCCCCGGAGACAAUCUGUCGAUACUUAAGCUGUUGUUCGUCAAUGGAGGACAUGUGUUACACCUCUGGAAGAGAGUGGAAACUGAGGAUAGAUGGAUGAGGAGAAGAAGAAGAAGAAGAAGAAGGUGAGAAUCCAGAUGUGGGUGAAGGAGAAAGACCAGGUCCAUGGAUCCUCCUCAGACUCUUCUUUCAGGUUAGCACAUCUGCGAACGAGGCCCGGUGCGACUCCAAGCUGAAGGUUCGGAUGAACUCGGAGAAAAAGUUGAAGGCGGUGUUGUGGAGGAAGAUUAAGACGUGAGCUCAUACGCAGGUGAAGGUUUUAAAAGGAUUUGUGCAGACGCUGUAUUAGCUGCACACACACAAACAGCCAGGAGCGGCUCUGACUCCUGAGAUCAGGUUUGUUCUGUUUUUACCCUCAAUGUAUACAAAGUCCAUUUAAUCUGCCCAACAACCACCGAUGACAUUUUGAAGUCUGCGCUCAUUUUCCUCCCUGAGAGCUGCACAAACAGCCACAGGCCCCCCCACCCCCAACCGUCAACCUCCCCGCUCCUCGGCUGUUUACUAAGUUUACAUUGAUGCUAUCCCGCUCCGCUCACACCGCUGUAAUAGGACUCAAUACUUCAAGCCUCUGGCCACUCAACCAAUACACCAAAUCACUGAGUGGGAGCAGUGAUAAUAACAGCCGACGGUAAUGUGCAUGCAAGUGUAAAUGUAAGAGAGAGAGAGAGAGAGAGAGAGUUUGUUCGUUUGGGGGGGAAAUCUAUAUUUCUGUUUGGCAGAUUCAGACCAAAAACAAACCUGCUGCAGAAAUGCAUGUUCACCAGGAAGCGCCGGGUCCGACGCUCUCACAUGAUCAUUCUCAAACAUCUGUGGACAGUGUGGAAGUGAAGUUAUACAAGAACAGAUCUGAAGUACAAUCUCUGAGUUUGUGUUCUUCUCUUGAGUAUGAUUUAGAGUUUUGAAGUAUAUAUAUAUAUUUUUAUUUUCAGGCUUUUUGUGCCUUUUCUAGAACAAACAGGACAGUGGAUAGAGAAGGAGAAGAGCAGAAAGGAGCCCAGACUGUUAGCUCGAGGAUAACCAUAGACUUUAUACUCUGUGGACAACUUUGCUCCGCCUUCUGUCAUUAUACGAAUUUGAAGCCGAAUUGCUCUCGGUAUUUCAUCAAUUUUCUCCAAUUAUGCAAUAAAGUAUCAUACAUUUGGCGGAAGAGUCGCUGUGAUGACGCUCGGCUCAAACAGCUGCACAAUCUUCGUACGCCCAUAGGCUGUAUCAGGUGUCAAUCAUCGAAAACAUGAACCCCCUAAUAACUUUUAAAAACGGAGCUGUACAGAAAAAAGAGGACUUGAGCACAAACCAGUCUGACAGUAACUACAUGUCAACAUCACAACCAGGGGGGAGAAACAUUUAUAUUCUGUGUCAUUCAUUUAUAAAGUUUGUCCACAGCUCCAUAGGGAUUGCUGGAGGAGGUGGGAUUUAUGACCUAUACUGCAGCCCGUCACCAGAGGGUGCUGUUCUUGCGGUGGCUUCACCCAGUGAAGAGGUAGACGGCGUCCAUUCUAUAUACAAUCUAUGUAACUCAAGCAUAUAUGGCGGUGCACAUGGACUGUGAAGCAGUUACCGUAUUUCCACCGCAUUUCCAGAGCAGCUCCAAACCGGAAUGGCAGCAAUUUUCACGAUAACAAGUUGUCUUUAGCCACAUAGACUAACCAUAUAAGCAGUAGAUUGUGUCCUUCCAGAGGAGGACAUCUACUUCUAGACUUCUAGAAUCAGCAUCUCCUCAUCCAUGGUGUCAUCGGGGUGAAAUGACGUCUAAAAACCUUUCACUUGUUCAUCCCUACCUGUUUGCAUGGUGUGAAUUUUGUGUUUUAUUUUGAAAAGAAGCCGGAUGUUUUAUUUUGUGUCUGCGCCCGCCUUCCUUUCCAGCACGGGUUAAUCUGUGCUGAAUUUAUCCACCAUGCUCCGGCGUCCAGAAAAAAUAGAACUUGUGAUCAGCUGAGGAGUUCGGCGAUCUGCAGAGGAACAGAAAGAAGACGGUGUAAAUUGACACGUUAACUUGAGUGGUUACGAUCAGCUAUGAUCGGAGGAUACAACCUUUUAGGAGACGAUCAGGAUGAAGGUGGAAAUUACUAGUAAGCUCCAAAACACGAUGCAUUUUAAAUACAACUAACUAAACCAGCGCAUCCGACUAUCCCAACCUCUGACUCGAAGAAAACCAAACAGUUAAAUUCUGCAAUGAAAUAAGAGUUUUUGAACAUGUUUGAAUAAUUUUUUAAAACAGACAUUCAGAUAUGAAAAUGUGUCUGUCUGUCGUUUUAAGGACUCGGUCGUAUCUCACAGGAGUUACAUCUUCACUGACGAUACACUUGAGUGAGUCGGCCUUGUGGUAGCGUGUUUACCCUCACUUUUGGAUGGUUUCAGUUUUAUGGAUCAAGUCCUCGUUAUAAUAGCUGUCAUGAUAGGCUGUGAAAGUGUGAGAUUUUCUUACCUCAUCCAAACGGGUGAUUGACGGCGUGACUCUCCGACCUUAAAAAUCCAUCUGUGAGCUUAACAGUGAUAUAGAGCAGACAAACACACAGACUGAAGUGUUUUUUGUGACCUGCAGGCCUUCCUCCAAUAAAACUCUGAAUAUAAAACUCUCCAAAUGGACAGAUGAGCCGUUCCAGAUCCCAUUCUGACUGACAGUGUCGCCGCCGGCCCUCUUCUCCGUUAGCAGGAAUGCCCUCCGCUUCUGACGGCGUUUGAAAAUCUUCUCCUCAGUCGGGCAGGAAGAUGAAGGCGAAGCCGUCCUGCCCGCAGAGCCUCUCCGCCUCAGGCAUCAUGUCGGAGAAUUUGUUUUGUUUUUUCCACCUCGCUCCUCUUCUCUCUUUUUCUGCGAGUCCUUCGCCGCUUCCCGUCAGCAGAAAUAGAUACGCGCUCAGUGGGGGAUUGGGGGUGCAGAAAAACACCAGAAUAUCAAAACCAUCGGAGAUUAGAGGGGGUUUAUGGUUUGGUAAGCUUCUGAUCUGCUGCUGCCUCUUUCUCCGUGCACGUGAGUUUUCUUGUAAAAUCAAAAGAAGAAGAAAUCUUGAAAGCAGCGAUCAGCGUGAAGGGUGUCAAAAUCUACUCCCCUCUGCACAGGAAGUUACACAAACAGAAAAAAUGACACGACGACAGAGACAGCAGAACACAUCAAAACCACCUGUCAGGUACACGAUCACCAGCUACUCUCUGAUUGGUCAAACCCCCUUGACAACGGUUGUUAAUUCUGCAUAGCAACAGCAGGGACAGCCGGAUCACGCUCAUUAAUGUGCUGACCUCUGCAUGUUGACACCCAGACAGGAUUAAAAUCAAUAAUCAGUAAAUAUUGAUAACCAUUAUGUUGUCGCUGUCCGAUAAAAAAUACAUAUCUCCACUUACAGCGAUCUGGACUUUUUUCAGUACAUGCACGGUCCAUAGGGUUUCCAAAUGACUGAUGAAAAGACAUUUUAUAACAUCAUCUUUAUAACAAAGAUCUCCAUUGGGUGUCGGAAAUGUCGACAAAGCACGUAUCUGAGUUGUCAUGUCGGCAAACAGACUUCACACUGUGACAGACUCAUUACAGUCCAGAGUAACGCUACACAUCGACUGAUGCCGACCUCAAACCAUGACAGUGUUGUUUAUCUGUACGUUAGAUUUACGUUAGAGCUGAAGUUCAUCCCUAGAGGCAAAGCUGCUGUUUUCUCUCUCACACUUGUUGACUAUCGUAUCACUUAGUCGUGUUUCCACUAUCUUUUAAUUUGUUCACUGGUAUUUCAGUGAAAUCAGAACCAGAAUUUUAUUGAAAACCAAUUAACUUAGUAGUAUUAGAACUCAUAGUACAUUUGUAGUUGGUGUUUCAGAAUACCUGCAUCGAUGUGGAAAUGUAGGAUAGUCUGCUAUCAAUAGUUCAUCAACAUAGUGGGAUAUAAACCAGAUACUCGCGAUCGUCAUUGGAGCGCAUUAUUAAAAAAACACGUAUGUCCACUAUCACUCACAACGCAAAGCAUGUAAGUCUGUUUAAGAAUAUCAAACAGGUCACUGAUGAUUUUGUAAAUAUAGAUUUUGAAUUAAGGUCCUAAUUCAAUCUAAUUACAGUGUCUUGAGUUUAUUCUUUGAGGUUGUUUUUUUAAUGUUCCUGUAAAUAUAUAUAUAUAUUGGAGAUACGUGUUUUUUAUUGGACAGUGAUGCUGUGAAGGAGGGAACUGGACGAACAGCUGAUAACCUGCUGAAAACCGAGAAAAACCCUGUGACAGUUCACGAUAUCAUGUCUGAACCCUCAUAACCUUACUUUAUUCUCAUGACACUGAAACUCUAUUCAUGUAAAAUUAUCAUCUGGUAAAGCUACAACUUUAAUUUCAUGUUAUAACUCCACUAAAUAAUAUUUACCUAUAAGCACUUGUCAAAUUGGACGUUAUCGUCAUCCCAGUCUAAUGUGGUGGGAAGGAGAGUGGAUCUGCACCUACAGCUUUGUCAAAAUAUCCUUUAAACUCCCUAACCGGGACAGAACUGAGAAUAGAAGAACCAUUUAAAGAAGGAAACAAGAGAAAACCAGAGAAACAUCCCAAAGUGGGUAAGAACAGAAGGAUGAUCGGAUAUAUCAUGUAGACAUGACUGCAGCCAGAAAUAAGGUUUUUGGAUCACGCCGUCAAAUUUGCUAAAGUAGGAAUAAAAAAAACCAAAUUCGGUGAAAAGUUCGGACGACUUUUUCAUGAAUUUCCGGUCACGUCAAAAGUGACCUUCGCCUCAUUUUUGUUUGAGGGUUUGUCAGCUGCAAAGAGAGCUGAACACAGACGGACAGGUCGGCAGAAACCGUAUCCACGCGGUCAAACGUCGCCAUCACUGAAAACUUAAACGAGACUCAAACACACCGCGCUUCAUCUUCCAGAAGGUCUCGUUUCUGAGGGUCCGAACUCUCUGGGAUGGUCCUGGUGCCAUCAGAAACACGGAGCAUCUGUUGAAAUCACCUGGCCGACCUUCCACCUCUUGGCAUUCUUCUCCUCGCCCGGCCGUUCACACACUAUUAGAGCGUUUACGCCGCGGGUAGAGAGCGAGCGGCUGAACUCAUUUCACGGGUUAAUUAGAACAAAAGGAUCAGCCUUUCGCCGCGCGAGAGGCUUUCGAUUAUUGAAAGGUUGUGGCUCGCUCUCCUCCCCGCGGGCCUCCGGUGAGAGGACAGAGUAUACCGGGCUCCAUCACGCCUAAAUGCCACCUAUCAAUCACCUGAUCGCGCCUGGCCGCCAUCAUUAGCGUCCCGUGAUUGAGAGGUAAGCUUCGUAAUCAUCCUCAGGCAAAUGCAGAGUGAGGUUAUUAAUACGCUGCCUGUCUGCGGGAAGCGAAAUGACAAGUUGGGUCAACUUUAUGAAGUGAGAGAGAGCGGGUGGAGCGGAGGAGCCGAGCGCUGAUCGACAAACAACGUGACAGAGAUCAGACCCUGAUGAGGUCUCUAACAUAAAGACGAGGAGAAGGAGUGAAGAGUGUACAGUCUGCUGUCCUCCAGAAACGGGAACAUAAUGACUCAAGGUUCCCCGUCUUAUGUUCAGCAGCUCUUAUCUCAAACACUUCUGGAGUUUGGAGGCUACACAUCUCAACAAACCAACACCAAGAGUGCUGCAAGAAGGUGAUAAAAGAUUGUGUUUCAUACCUGGGGUUGACCUUAAGCGGCGCGGUAAUGAAUAUCUUGUAUCAACAGCGUGAACCGGCUCAGAGUGAGGCAGGAAAGAAGCCGGAGGCACGACUCACGACAGACGGCGAAAAUCAAAGUUCAGCUGAGAAAGAGGCGAGGGUCAAAUCCGGGAAAUCAGGCAGAACAGGAAAACAUCUGACAAGAGGCGGGCGGCAAAUCCAAGGUCUAAAGAUCAGCUGAGGUCUGUUCAGGCCACUGAAGUACCAGAUAUCAGACUGUCCGCUGCAGCGUGCACGGAAAGGUUCAGUACACGCAGCGAAAAAAGGAAACGGGAAAUAGAGACGCCAGCAGCGUGUUGUUUUCUUACAUGAGAACCGACCAGGUACUCUGAACAAGAGCCAAACUUUAAUGAGAGUCUGAUGUUCAGACGUCUGGACUGGAUUUAGCUUCAUGGUUACAGAUGAAACCAGGAGAAAUUGUUUUUAUUUGAUAAGACCGAGAGGAUAUUUACAUCUACUGUGAUGUUAUAUGGAAGAGCUAAAACCUGCAGUUCAUCAAGUGUCCACUAGAGGGUGGAUCCAAACAUGUUGUACAAACAAGAGUGAUUCCUUUGACUCCGUAUAUUUUGCACUCUUAUUUAGAGUGACCAUCCGUCGUCUUUUACUCAGACAUGUCCUCUUUUUUGGGGGCUGUCCGGAUUUGUCUCGGGGAGUUUAUAAAAUCCUUCAGAUGUCUUCAGUUUUGAGUUUGUGUCGCGUGGACUUACUGAGUUAGAAGCGCCUAAAAAACACUCGAUCCGACUGCAAAACUCUCAAAAUUUACGACUCUGUGACUCCGCCCCUUUUUGGGAAUUCAGUAUAUAGUCACCCUACUCUGACCGAGCAUGAAGUGAGUGAGUUGUGUUUUUAAUUCGUUAAUCUGAAUAAUUUUAGCACCUGCCGUGAGCCUGCUUAUUUAUUUACUUAUUUAUCCCCUUGCAUUAAUGUAUUUCUGCUCACUUUAUCUUGCUCUUUGUGUUAUUUGUUUUAUGUAUCAUUGUACAGCACUUUGACUACCCUUGUGGUUAUUUUAAAAUGUGCUAUAGAAAUAAAGUUGAUUGAUUGAUUGAUUGAAUUUGCAUGUACAAAUUCUAACGUUGCCUCAUAAGGACUCGUGUCCAGCUGCGUCUUCACGUUGACUUUACUUGCAGUCGUGUAAAUAUCCCCUCCCUGUGUGAACACAGAAGCCUUCUCCGACUGAAAACUCACACUGAGUAUCCCAACCCUCGGCACGGCUCACGGCAGAGUCUGAAAAUAGAGAUCAGCGUGUUGACGACCUUCGUGGCCUCUUGUCCAUUACUGAAACUUUGGAAAUUUAGAAGUUUUAUAUUCCGGCCUGCUAACAGCCCCGGACUAAACACCUGAGUCUGCUCAGUGUGGAGACCAUCAGCCUGCACAGCUCUGAUCCGCACAAUACGACCAUUAGACUUUCUCAGCAUCUAUUCAUUGAUCGGCUGCAGCCGAGAUAAAGGUCGGCGGUUCACGGAGCUCCGGCCAUUUCAGCACCUCGUCCUCCUCUUCUCGCUCUCCUCAGAAAAAACCAGAAGGUCUCCUGUCAGCACAACAGACUCUUUUCAAAAGCGAGUGGGAAGAGAAGUGAGAAUGUGACCCUGAUUCACACCUCCAGACUCCACACAAUCUGCACCUCCUCUGAAACUCAACAAUACCGAGAAACAUCUGCUCACUCUCCACACUUAUAAAAACACUCUCUUUAUAUUCACAGGCCUUUCAUUAGCUUUUUGUGUCUUUUUUUGUGUGUGUUUGUGUGUGUUCUCGGGCUCUCUGCAGCUCUGAAAUGACAAGACUCAAGGAAAACAUUCAGAAGUCAAAGGCAGAUAAGUGAUUCAGGUCUGUGUCUCAGUUGGCCUUUGGAGAGGAGCGAGGAUGAUUAAAUUCAGCAGAGGAGAUAAAUCCUCAUAUCCAGCACAUUAACUCCCACAGAAGUACACAAACUUCAUACAGAGAAACACAUUAUGGGGGCUGCAGAGUGUCAGCUUUAAUAAAAAGAAAUGAAUAGCGGGUCAGCGCGUCUUCAGCCUGUAACUGGAAUAUUCUGUUUUAAUAGAAAUACGAGUCCUGACCCUCCUGAAGAAGAGAGCGCUGAUGGUCUGCAGCUGUUCUCGCUGUCAUGGAGCGGACCAACACUGUUAAUAAGUGUUCUUAUACAAGGACCGCGUUUAUGUUCGCACAAACAAAGAUUAUGUCUCGCUGUGAAUUAAAACUGACCCUCCUGCUGUUGUGAGUGUGAUCGUACGGUCUUUGUGGAUCUUUAUUAUGUGUUGGAGGUUGUUGGAGUUUCAUAUCACUGGUUAUUUUUUUAGACACGAUAACAGAGAGACGUCAGCUCAGCCGAUUAAUGAGAAACUGCAGGGAGGACCGGGACGCGACUCUGCCGCCAUCAUUUUUUAGGUUUUCUAGUUUCAUGCAGAAAAUUUUCAGCAUAUUUAAAAACUGGACUUAGCGAUGGUAACAUCCCCCUUUUGCCGCAAACUCAACUUUAGAUCAACCUACCAGAGGCGGGACUUUAGCCUCCUCACAAACAGCUGCUGUGUGACCCCGUGACUCAGAUUCGCCGAUCUUGUAACCUUACUAACUUCCAAUGGGAUUCCUGCGCGAUUCAGACAUAUGCUGCGUUCCAGUUACCUCAGAAGUCGGACGUUGGAGCUGGGAAUGACGUUACAUCCCGAGUUUACGACGUUCGAGUAAACAAGUCGGAAAAAACAAGAUUGACGCCUUAUGUUAGCUGUUGUUAACAAGUGUUAGCUGUUGUUAGCUGUACCAGUUUUAAACAAAGUAUAACCCAGUAUUUGACUCUUACAAACACCAUCGCACCGUGUUCACAGUUAGACGUUGGGCAGAACAACAUAAACCACUUUUACUAAAACAAAACAGAAGUGCUAAUAAUUAACACAUUACAUUCACUGUUACUCUUUAUUGUUGAUGCUCUGCGCUGCCAUCUUGAAUUAUGACGUUGUCGUCAAGUCGAGGUUGGUGAGGAUUGUCCGACUUUCCGAGUCUGAAAUCCGACUUCAGGGCGGCGCUCCAGAUGAAUUUUUGACUCAGAACUCGGAAAUCCUGACCUCCAACUUCAACUGGAACGCAGUGUUUGGCUCGGUGUGUAUGUGGUUUCUGGUGCUUCUGUAGACAGCCCCAUGUGGACACUUGAGGAACUGCGGGUUUCAGCACUUCAGCAUCGGCUUUAUUUCUCGUGAAUGGAGGACGCUGCUGCUCUCAAAAACAGAGGUUUAAAACUGGCCUCGAAAAUGUUUAAUUCCUUUUCCAUAUCUGAUAUUUAGGACUGACAUUAACUUUACAAACGAGUCCAAAUAGAGCAGGUAAAUAUUCUUUUUAAUUGCACUUUGAGUAACUGUCUAAGAGGGUUCAUCUCUAAUAUCUUAAAGGGAUUUUGUGGUUUUAUUCAGCAGAUAUUUCACUCUGUUAGAAGGAAAUAUUGCAGACUGAUAUCUCUUGAAUACCGGUCCUUAUUGAAAUAGGACAGCGGUCAUCAGACAUGUUUGUAUCAGCUCAGUAACUUUUACUCAAUUCAGCAUCAACAUCCAGGUGUGUCGCAGUGAAGAAGUGAACAUGUGCAGCCCAGAUGUUCGUUGUUAAAGCAGAGAAAGUGCACCAAAAAAAGCCCCAAAGACCGGCUGUUUGGGGAGAGGAGGCCUGCCAGCGGACUGGCUGCAGCUCUGGCUCAUCUACACGGGUCCACACCAGGUCCAGGUGUGUCCCAUGUUGCUGAUUAACCUCCAGCAAGUCUGCAGCUCCAGAGACAGAAAGCAGAGUCAGCCGAGCAGGAGGGAACCUGCACAAAGUUAAGAGAGAAAACAGGAGAGGAAUCACAGAGGGCCACACGGGGUCAAUUGGUGUUGGCUCCUGAAACGGGUACAAAUCACACCGGAGCGUCAGAGCUGGAAGGACAUAAUAUAACGACAUGGUCGGACUCCAAGAAAGAACUAACGCAGAGGGCCUACGCUCACCUCAGAUCACACCUCCCCAUAAAAAAACACACCUCAUGUUAAAACUAGAAACACUACACAAUAUUUCUAUAAUAUAUUUCACUCUUUUCUGUUCUGACUGCUCUAUUUCUAUAUUUUAAUUGUCCCUUUUCCCUUCUUUCUCUUUGAACUGAUGUUUUUUGGAAAGCUCCUUCUGCUCCUGUACGUGAAAAUGCUCUUCGAGUAAAAUGAUUUUGAAGCUUCAGACCGGUGACAGAUCUUCUGUUUGUGCUGAAUUAGCACGAGUUAGAGGGCAAACUAAAAUCACUUCACCUCAAAUGGCUCCUAAUGUGUUUGUCUUCCUGAAAAGGUUGUUAAUUUGUGAGUCUCUCGGCUGUCACUGUGUUGGUUUCCUCCAGAUGUCUCUGCUCGGUUUCUCUCUGUCACGUCCUGCAGGUUGUCAUCGAUUUACCGGAAAAUAAGGGGAAGGAUUUCUACCCAAACAGAAUUCCCUUUGCUUCGGAUCAGUGCGACAUGUUCUGCUUGACCAGUGAAAUGUUUUCUCCGAGAUAUUACACACCCUCUGAACUUCCCAUCAGUCACAGCAGGAUGAAGUUUUCAGGCCUCAGAGACGACGGUGUGAGGCGGAGAGUGACGGUGAGUCCUGGGCCGUCACGGACAUCGAGCAGGGCUGCAGUCGCUGCUCCAGCACCUGAGGUGUGACGUCCUGGGAGUCCUGCAGCCUCGAAACACGCCAAACUGUCCGCAAACAGGCGGGAUAAAAAUAGGCUCUUUGUUUGCCAGGCUGAGCCGCACCAAAGUCUCACCGCCACAGCUGUGUGUGACUGAAGCUUUCAGCGCAGAGGCUGGGAGAACAAUUAGCAGAGAUGGUGGUGUGAUGUGGGAACAGAUGUGACUGUGAUGAUGCAAGAACGGCAAACAUUAAUAACACGCCUGAGUCUAUACUUUUCUGAGAAGUCGUCAGAUUUAAGAGUCUUCAAACCAGAACUUUUUAAGGGACUUUUUUACCGUUUAAGGUUUCAUUCUUUGUUCAUGUCACUUUGCUCACAGAUACACAAAUAAGUGCAAAUUCUUAGUCACAGUUUUACUCCUUUUUCAUUAAAGUUCUCAUGUUUAAAGAAGUCCUGCAGAGAACUUAAAAGUUUGUGUAUAUUAUCCAAAACACGUUAGAUUGCACACACUCACAGGGUUGACUUCAGUAAUGUUGGGUACAAUUUAGGGUUGCAUCUGACAAGUAAUUAUAAGGAAAUUUAACAGAUAUAUCGUCAAACUACACAAACGAUAAACCAGCGUAACAGGUAACAAGCAGACACUUAAAUGCCUAAAAACCCUGCACACCAAACCAGGUGGUAAAAACAGAAAAGAAACACACAAUCUACAAUAUUUACUCUGUACUUAAAGUACCGUCGGCACACCUAAAACUUUCUUUCUUCCACAGAGGCAUGGAUGGCCGGUCUGCCUUUUCUGAGUGUGUCUGAAAAGCCAAAAGAAAAGGAGUGAGAGCGAACAACCACCUGGUUUAAAAGUGAGUGAUUUCAUAAAUAUGGAAACUUGGAGAAACUAAAUGAUUCGGUGAUUUAAACAAUCACAAGGAGGUUGUGAUCGGCUUAUUAGUCGUCUAUAAGUGGUGAAAAAACACAGUUUGUGUGCUCCAGAUUAUCGGCGAAAUACUACAUUUCAUUUUGUCCACAGGGGGCGCCAAAGAAAACACAAAUGACAGCCAAACUACACGGAGAUUGAUUCAUUUGCAGGGUUGUCGUGAACUUUGAAUUCUACGGAGCUCGAGAGGUGACAUGAACUUUUUUUUUUUGUAUAUCUCAGGUGCGAUUUAACUGUUCCUAAAUAGACAAAAUCACUUCCUACAAGUCUGAAUAUCGCCGACGGCAAAGUCGCUGUGCUUCAGGGAUCCUGAUGAGGUUUCUCCUACUCAAAACAAAACCAACUGUGUUGAAAUUAUUAAGUAUCUCUUUGUGAGUCAAACAUGAAUGAAAGAAAAUGUUGAUAAUAUGAUAAGAGGCGUGCAGAGGAUUAUUUACAAAAUGCAUUCGUAUUUGCAAAAUACAAAUAAAACACACGUACGAGAUAUUAAAUCGCACGUGGAAUGAAGUUCAUGUCACCUCACGGGCUCUGAAGAAUUCGCCAAAGUGAAGAAGGAAACUUUUUUCCUUUCUGUUCGGUUAAAAUGUUAACGUGGUGGUCGAUGAGGAUUGGAGACAGCCUCUAGUGGACACUCAGAGAACUGCAGGUUUUUGACACUUUAAUGUUCAGAGUCAACUUUAUUUUUAAAUAUGCUCUACAUGUUAAACAUACAGCAAGGAUGAAAUUUCAGUCCUCUUAGGCCCACGGAGCAAAAGAAUAAACUAUAAGAAUAAAACUAUAAAAGAAUAAAUAUAAUAAUAAAAAACUAAUCUAAACAAAAGACGAAAAUACUCUUAAUUUACAAAAUAAAGAUAACAAUAUAAAUAGCAUAACAGUAAAAAUAGCACAACAGUAUAAAUAAAGAAGGUGAAUGUAAACAGUAUGGCAGUCCUAAAGUGGACGUAAUAAUGCAGAUAAAUGUCAGACAGUUGUAAUUAUGGUGCAAUGAUGAGCGAUAAAGUGAAAGUGUGCGGUCCUGAGGUUGGUGUGUUUGUGAGGGUCUGAGGAGGGCGAGUGCUGGAGCUCCGGAUGUUUCUACCUGUUAAGUAGAAACACUGAAAAAAAAAAAGAGUCACAGUGUUAAAAGACAAACCUAAAACCUCUAAAGAGCCUGUACAUGAGUUUCAACUUAUCCACUGUCACUUUCAUUAUUCUCUUUUUGCAAAUAAAGGUUAAGAGUUUUGUAUUUUUUAAUAGAAAAACCAUCAAAGCUCGGAGGAAUUCACAAGUACAGCCGGACUUUUCAUGAAACGAUUACUUCUAAGACUGGAUUAUCCUGUAAAUAUCUGAAGUGUCCUCUUUGUUUCUGUGACAUUUUGCUGCAGCGAGCGUCUCUGAGUGUUUGAGGCGGCUCUGAUUUAAAUGCUGGUAUUUGUUUUUCUUUAAAGCAGCAGCAGCAGCAGAGUUACAGGGCAGUGAACUAGAAAAUGACAUUUUAAAGUCAUCUGUAGCUUCUGCAGAGUGUUGUGCCCUUUCCUCAGCGGGGUAAAUAUUAACACAGCCGACGCCUCCUCCUUCUUCUUCUUCUCCUUCUUCUUCUUCUUCGUCGUCUUUAAGAAGACGAGGCGUCAAGAGAACUGAAGGAAAAUGGAGAGAGAGAGCUUAUAUCUGUUCAACUCCUUCAACCGUAACAUUUUACAUGCAGGAUUUAGCAUCAGUCAGUGUUUAUCUUGGCAGUGAUCGCAGAUAAAAAUGUUUUUAGUUUGAGUUUUUUUUCUCUUUUAUGUCCAAGAAAAAUCAAAACAUUUGAGUCAUCACUUUCACUCGUCACCAGCGUGUAGGAUGGAGGUUCGCACUCUUUGUACUUCAACUUAUGUGGUAUUUAGAUUUUUCAGUUUUAACUGGAUGAUUAAGUGUACGCUCUCCCACAAUGCAAUGCUGCCUCUGCUGAUCGACUCAGAUAAUAUAGAAGAUUGAUCCGUCUCUGAGCCAAGAAUCAAAACAGUCUUUCUGUGGUUGAUAAAGACGUGUUUGUUUUCCUUUGAUUUCUUUUCUCUGUGGGGUGGGGGACAGAUGGUCUGGGCUCAGCCCCCUCUGUCCUAAAUCUAAGAAUCACCCCUGGACAGGUGCUGAGACACUUUACACCGCACCCGGCUCUAUCGACAUUUUGCAGGAUAAAUAAUGAUGACUGGUUGUUUCUUAAUCAUUGGCAUCCAUGAUGAAAAGUAUAAAUAGAAGAAAAUAUAGAUAUUAAACAUGCAGUCAUCCUCAUGAUUCCUACCGUACAGCAGAAGACUUAGUAAAACUGUUUAAAGAAGUUUUAAAAGACUGACAGACAUCCGUUUAUUAAACACAGAGAGGUUUUUUUGGGACUGUAGGAUUAAAAAGUGGUGUUGUAGAUGUCUGUGGGUGUGACCUGUCCUCCUGUUUGUACCAUGAAAGGGUUAAAAGUCCACAGAAAUCGUGGCAGCUCUGUGAAUAUGCUUUCACUUCUUAACCACUGCGUAUGGUGACCAUACGUCCUCUUUUACCUGGACAUGUCCUCUUUUUUGGGGGCUGUCCGGCCUUGUCCGGGGACUUUAACAGGGCCCGACCGAUUUAUCAGCGAGACAAUUAAAUCGGCCAAUUUUAGCCAGUUUGAGACUAAUCAGUAAUCGGCCAAAACUCGCAGAUUUUCGCCAAUAUUUUCGGAAAUAAAAUGUGGAGAAGAUUCGGGGUUGAAAAUGUUUUUCUGAUCCGAUCAGUCGGUCUUCCUGUCGGUGUGAAGAGCAUAAUAUCUAUACUUUAGAUAUCUACACAGUACAUAUAUAUCUAUAUAUAUAUAUAUACUAUAUAUAUCAUAACUAUAUUAUUAUAUGUAAAAAUCACUGGACCCGACCCGAAAAACUCUCAAAAUGCACUACGUUCGACUCUCUGACUCCGCCCCGCAUAGUCGUGUCCUCUUUUUCGGGAUUCAGAAUAUGGUCACCCUACCGCUGCAUUGAAUAGAGUAUUUGUCGUGUUCGUUAGGUGACUGGCGAGAGUGCCCCUAGUGGUUGUUUUCAAUAUUGCAAGAAAGACUGAAGAUCUACGAAAACUUGAAACAAGGUUAAGUUUUUCGUAGACGCAAAGACAUGAAGAAAAAAAAACUUUAAAUCAAUCCUGAUGUUUGUUCCUACUAUGGAAAUUUGUAACUAAAAAUCGCAUGAAAAGUCUUGUGAGUUUUUAUCCCAGAGUUAAAAUAAGAUUUACUAUUUAUCAUGACUUGAAAUUAGACUUGACAUGAAUUAAAACCUAUGAACUGCAUUUUUAAUCCCCAUAAAAUCUCUGCUCUUCGUUGGUUUUGUCGGAGAGUCUCUUUCACGGCUGUUCAUUUCGUUUAUUGAAAAUCUUUAAAGUAGAAUACACUUCCGUGUUUUUCUUUCGCUCCCCUCUUAUUUCUUCCUCUCCGUCACCAUCUGUGUGUGUUUUUUCGUUCUUUGGAGCGUAAUCGCGCUGCCAUUUUACCGAGGACUCUCCCGGAGCCUCUGAUCCCCGGAGACCGUCCUGCUGAAAUAAAAGGUCAAAUAAAGCGUAAAGUAAACGAUAGCGGACAGGUGUUGCUGUUGUUGCGCCUCCUGCACGUGCAGCAUGUGAAGAGUCUAAUCUGAUCAGUCUGGUGUACGUUCACGUCCCGCCGAGACAAACAGGACCUGACUCCACCCGGCUGUCUCUGUCUGCUCACGCCGGAGGUCAAAACAGACAAUUUCACACAUUUAAAAAACAGGCUUUCUCAUUUCCAGCUUAAAAACACAAUUUAGCAUGGUGCUCAGGGACAACGGCUCGCCUUAUGAUCGCCACCUUCCUUCUGUCUGUCACAUGUGGUUGUUUUUGCCGCCGCUCUGCCUCCUCGCUCGGCGCUGAUUUGCCCCAUUAGUCGAGCAUAUGUGUGGAUUGUGCUGUCGAACCCAAUCAGCUGAUUUGAAGCCAGGGUCGUGUCUCUGUAGGGAGCCUUGUCCUCCUCCUCCUCCUCCUCCUGAGCCCAAAAAGAGGUGAGGAGUGACUGAGUGCAUUUUCAAUUUCAGCUCCGAUUUGGUGAACAUGAGUGACGCCAUUUUGAAGACCUUCCCGUUUAUUCUCGCACGUUUAUCCUCCUCUCCUUUGUCUCCUUAUUUGCUCCUCGUUUCGUGCUUUCCUUGAAGUCCCCUCCAGCACACACUCAUAUUUUCUUUCCACAACUUGUCUGAAAAAACACCGAACACAGGGAAGUGGACCCAAAGCAGAUGGCGAUGGCAAAACCAGAACAGUUCAAAUGAAUUUCUUGGAGGAGAGAGAAAAAAAAACAGCAAAACCCCGAGGUUUUCAGAACGGUGAAGCUGGCAACGAGUGAACCAGAGACCGUCCAACACAGACGCACAAAUCUGGGGUGUGUUCAGGCAAUCAGGAGUGAGAAAGGAAACAAGAAACGGAGACUGAAAUAUGAAACUCGAUUCUAUCAGUAAAUCAGAGGCUCGACUCUUUUGUCUCUUUCUGUUCUUUAUUUUCGUCUGAUAUUCAUCCUGAUUAAACAUUUCUCUGUUUUCACUUUAUUUCACCCACUUUUAUUUCUUACCCCGAAUUUCCACUGGAUCUGAAACGGCUCCGAUCCGGAACGGCAGCGAUUUUCAUGUCAAUUUCUACCAGAUCCAUUUCGUGGUGGAUUAUGGACAGCAGGAAUUGUGAGAACUCACAAGAACCCACGGAUUCAUGUGCAAUCGCGCGAUAAUGAGUUGUCUUUACCCACAGAAGCUAACCAUAUAAGCAGUAGAUAGUUUCCUUCCAGAGGAGGAAAUCUACUUCUAGACUUCUAGAAUCAGCAUCUCCUCAUCCACGGUGUCAUCGGGGUGAAAUGACGUCUAAAAACCUUUCACUUGUUCGUCUCCGCCCGUUUGCAUGGUGUGAAAUACGAUCCUCCUGAAACACACAGUGGAUAUUUUAUUUUGUGUCUGUGCCUGACUUCCUUUCCAGUCGAUCUGUUCUGAAUUUAUCCAAAUAGAACUCUUGCAAUCAGCUGUGGAGUCCGGCGAUCCGCAGCGGAACAGAAAGAAGACGGUGGAAAUCAACAUAUCCACCAAUCAGCUGCGAUCGGCAGAUACGUCCUUUUCGUAGCCAUGCCGGAUGCGGUGGAAAUUGCCAGUUACUACUAUUGACAUGAAGCUCCAGGGAUGUGAACAGUUUACAGACCCACCACUUGAACAGCUGACGUCAGAAUUAUGAACUGGAGUCGGGUCACGGGGUCAGCAGCCAGACCCCCUCUCCUCGGUCACUUUGUACAUCUCUUCCCAGGGACCCCACGGCCCUGUUUAUGUGGUCUACUGGUGGGAUUUCGACCACUCGCAAUGUUACUUGGCCUUGAGGUCACUACCCAAAGCUCGUGACCACAGAUGAGCGUAGGAACGUAGAUCGACCGUUACAUCGAGACCUUUGUCUUUCGGCUCACAGCGUCCAAAUCACUGCAGACGAGUUUCUGUAAAUCGUCUUUUUACUCGUUCUCUGCUACAGUCUGAUUUCUUCCUUUUCUCCGUACUUUAAUAACUGCUUCUCCCUUUUUAUUUUAGAUGCCUUAUUUAUUUAGUUUGAUUGAUUGAUUGAUUGAUUGAUUGAUGGAUUUUACCUGGUGAGAGACCCAAGUGGAGGUGCUGCGUUUCACUGCUUCAACUUGUUAACUUUCCCCGGAGUGAAAGUGUGGGAAUGCAGGAGUCCAACUUGCACAUUUCAGCACCGUGCCGCUGUGAUCAUUUUACCUCCUCCGUCUCUUCUCUCUGAGCUGACUGACGCCUCGCUGCUCGACACAGCAAUGAUUUUUUCAAAAGGUGGCCAGUUUCUGCUACAGCUUACUGUGUGGAUGUCUGCGCGCUGGUGUGUGUGUGUGUGUGUGUGCAAUUAGAGAGUGAGAGUGAGUAGAGCAUGUCAGUAGACUCUUGACAAAGUUGCCGUUGGCAGCGCAGCUCCUCAUCAUCUCCACAUCGGGAUAAAAUGAACCCAGGAGACCGGUGCCCCCGAGUUCCUCAGUAGACUUAAUUUAACAGAGUUAAAAUCAAUUUCUCUGCGCUCUCCUGGGUCAAAUUAACUAUCUCCUCGUAUGAAGAAACACCAACUACUUGACAGCUCGUCCAGAUCCUGACUGUGUCCGUCUGUCGGUCGACUGGCAAAGCGCUUUUCAUUUCUUCGCCAAUCUCCCGUUCUCACUUGGAGCGUGGGCCGUCCGCAUGGCGAGCUUCGAUCUGCCAAGAAAGUGACUGGAUGGUGACGGCGCCCAGGCUGGUCUCCAUAUCCCAGUAUGUUUCGGUUCACAGUAAUUGCUCUUAUUUGUCGAGACACGCAGCGGAAGAUGACACGGGCUGAAAUGCAACUCUGAUGUAAGAUGAGUGUUGAUUAGGAGCGGAGUUUAACAGCGAGGUCGCAGCUUUCGCUGUCGCUCCGGAGCUUUCUGCGGAGCAGUUAAGGUGUCGGUUUAUCCCACAACAGUUUGAAAGGUUUGGAAAACAAGAAUAUCGACUAAUCUGAGAGAUGAGCGGCAUCACGACGGCGUUCACUUGGCUGACGACCAAACGAAGUUCUUAACUGUUCAGCGACCUGUUUUAUCUGUUAGCUCAGAAUAGACAGAAACAAAACAAACAAAAUCUCACUGCUUUUCUGUUAAUAUUUUUCGCCCCACUUUGAACUCAAACGGCUCAAAGAUCAGAGUCGCUUUAUUCUCAAACUUAGUCUUUAUAUUUUUUUCUUGACUUGCUGAUUUAUAUCAAAGCGUCUAUCAUCACACCAUCAUUCCUGUUUCCAGAUCAGCUCCCACUGUUUGUUUUAGUUUAGUUGUUAGUGUUUCCUGUUUUAUUUUGAAGUAGUCAGUCCGUGUUUGUCAAGUCUGGUUUUCCCUCCUUCGUUAAUUUCUCACGAGUCUCACCUGGUGCUCGUUUCCCAGUGUGUGUAUACAGCUCCUGUUUCCCCCUCUGUCUUUGGUGGGUUAUUGUCGGUCCAUGUAUUAUCUGUCCAUUCAAUUAUUCCAUUCAAUCUAGUAACUGAAAAAUGAAUAAAUGAGUCACUAUUUUAUUUGUUUUUCUAUAUAACCUAAAAAUAAAAAAAUGUGUUUGUUUUUGUGUUUUCAGCUCAAAACAGCAUAAAUAAAAAAGAAGGAAACAAAAACAAAACAAUAAAUCUUAUUAACGAUUAUUGAUUUUCAGUGGGCCUGUUUUGAGCGUACAUGCAUGGAUCCUCGGUGACAGUUACCAUGGCGAAAGAUGCGACAGAGCGGUUUGAGCCCAGAAAUGUUACGUUGUAACAGAGCUGUGGUUGUCAUUGUUUCCACAGUCAUAUCUUCCUCCUUCAGCGUGACCCUCCUGGCGGCUUUGAAUCAUACGUAGGGUGCGUCCGUCUCCAUAUCGAUCCAGAAAAGUCACUAAGAAGUUAGAGUUAUCUGGACUGAUUGGAGAGCUGUGUAGCUUUUGUCUGUCCUGGGUAGCUAUGGCUCCACCUGUUGGCCAGCAAAACUCUAACACAGGAAGUACAAUCAUUGAAGGAAAACCAGGAAGUCUAUAAAAGGACCAGGAAGUUGGCGGUUCUUCCCUUUGUCUCCAGCAGACCACACAUGAGCCGACUCCUGAAGAAGACUGCAAACUGAAAACAUCAGCUGUGAGUUUUGUUCUGUGUGGCUGCUCCUUGGUUUUUUAGCAGAAAAUGGUGUUAAAACAUGUAUUUUUUUUUUACUUGCUUGUUUAAGUAUUUAGUUUAGUUUAUCCUGGUGCUUAGCCUAGCAUGUAGCCCACAGCUUAGCUGAUUUGCUUAUUGCAAAAUCAGCUAAGCUCUGGGCCACAUGUCUGGUUUAGUCAGUACCUUAGCUUAGCUUUUAGCAUUAGCAUGUGAUGUAGCAUGUAGCUAAGGCUCACACAGCUCAAUUCAUCAUGUAGCUUAGCGCUUAGCAUUAGCAAAUAGCAUUUAGCUUAGCACCAAUGUUUCAUUUGUAUUAUGAGUAAAUGUAUUAUUUUCUAUGAGAAGUUGUUUACAGCAUUUUGUUGAUCAGUGCGUUAUUAUUUCUCUUUGUUGUAGUUUUUACUCUGAAUUUAACCAGUGAUGAAUAAACAAGAUCAACUGAGACCUGACUCAAUCAUUUAAUUUUAAAUUUUUAAAAGUUUUUAGAGAUUAACUGUCAAACUGCAUAAUCACACAUGUAGGGAGGACAGUUUAACACCAAAGAUGUUUCAUUGGUUUGAAGUCUGAUUAGGAGCAGGUGGGCCGCAGGUAUAUUUGAGUUUAUAACAUGCAUUUUCGAAUUGGCCUAAUUUAUUCUGCUGUUGACCGCAGUAUUCAGUGGAUACUGUAUACUGAGUACUGUGUUCAAUAGUAGUAUGUAGUAUGACUGCAAGUCGGCUGUUAUUAUGUAGCAUGGUUGGCCCGGUUUAGCUGGUUUCCUGUAUGGAAAAGUCCAUGGUACUCUGGUAAACUGCACUGACACUACAGUCGCCCAUUCAUUUACGCACUGAAAAAAAUCUUUAAUGUGUUUUAAUUUGAUUUUUUUUAGCCCAAUACCAUCAAAACAUGUUCUGUCCAUGCAAUGACACAUCGAUCUGGUGGCGUACGGCAAAGUUAUGUUGUCAGUUACGUUGUCCUCAUUUCCUGCUUAAAUGAAAGAAGUUGCAACCCUUCAGUGUUGUUUUUGGCAGGCAUUUUAGAUUUAGUUUUAGUCUUAGUCAUUUUGACGAAAUGCUUCUUCGUUUUAGUCCCAUUUUAGUCAUUUCUAUCCUUGAUAGUUUUCGUCUAGUUUUAGUCCGACGAAAACUCAAAAGGUUUUCGUCUAGUUUUAGUCGACGUAAAGGUGCCUUUUGAGGUUCGUGGUGUUCAUUCCCGACAGUUUGAAGCAUGAGGAAGCUGUGGCUCCACAACUGUCGUCUGUCUCGUCUCCCCGUCCCGUGUUUUAUUGUCACUUUUAUUUUAUUGUCACUUGAACUGUAUCUGAAGUAGGACCAUAAAGCAUCCCUCUUUUUUCGGCCACCGCUGCUGUGCCUGCCGCUACGGUGUGUGUGUGUGUGCGCGCCUCGUCCACCUGCCGCUCUGUGUAUGUGAAUGAGUGUGUGCGCGCAGCUGUGCGCGAGCGAGGCUUUUGGUGCGUGUGUGAUUGGGGGCGUGACUGUUAGGACAAAAAAAAGCAUGUUUUGAAACUUUGUUCGUCCACCUAAUAACAAUUUAGUCUCGUCUCGUUCUCGUCUGACGAAAAUGAAUAUAAUUUUCGUCACAUUUUAGUCUUUACAGAGCUUUGGUGACGUUCGUCUUAGUCUCAUUUUCGUCAAGGAAAAAAGGGGUCUGACGUUGUCAUUUAAGUUUUCGUCCUGCCUGACGAAAACAACACUGCAACCCUUGCUAAACGUGUUAACUGAUGGCGUCUGUGUGGUGUGGUCUUAUUUCCCUUUGUCCCUUUGAUAGUUUGACAACUCCAGUAAAAACCCUCUAAUCCAAACUCCUGUCUCCUGUCAGUUUAUUUCUUGUCUGCUGAUUGAGUCCGACUGUUUUAACGUUUACUCACCUUUCUGCGUUAAAGCUUUAGACCCUCUCUAAUGCCAGCUGCCUGUCUAGCUGUGAGAUGGAAACAUGGCUGAUGGACCGCACUCAGGUGAAAAGUUUCGCCGCUCUCCGCUAUCUGCCCAGGCGCUUCGCAUUGUGGGUAACAGUAGGCGAAGCAGACUGUGAGAUUUUCCCGAAUCAGUACGUCAUCUGGGUAUUUUUUGCAUAUUGCGAAUUUUGCAUUUGCUUGCUUAUUGCGUACUGAAUUUUGGGCAAAUCAGUACGAACUGCUAAGAUAGUAGGUGAAUUCAGGAAACAGCCACGGUGUCUGACAGCGCUGUGUCUUUGUUGAUAAUUUCAACAUCAGUCACGCCAACAGGAUCUAAAAAAAAUCUAAUGUAAAUAAUUGAGAUGUGGCAGCAGGUCCGGGUUCGAACGGUCGGUGACUUCCUUUAAAAGUCUUUAGUUAAUGAGGACUGAACUCUGACUCCAGGUUUGGAGACGUGACUGCAACAAUAAACAAACUACAUUUACCACACAGGUCCGACUCACAGUCACUGAUUUGUGGCCUUUGUUGCUGUGCAGAUUCACUCUGAACACACACAAACACACACACACACACACACACACACACACACACACACACACACACACACACACACACACACACACACCAGUAAAUGCUCAUUUUAUGCUAAUAGCUUGGAAGUAUUUCCUUUGCUUUGUUCAAAGCUAAAAUGAGCUUGAAUUAAAGGUAAUUGAGGACAAAUCAACAUGCACAAUGCGUGGAGGGAGGAGAUGGCGGUGUUAAGUGGUGGGUUUGGCAAAUGUAAGGCAGGUUAAUUUCCCCAUUGCUGUUAAGUGGAGGCACACCGCUGCAUUUUAAUAAGAAUAAUUCUUCAUUGUGUGCAGGAGUCUCCGAAAAAAGCAGGUGGCUGUGUUAGAAAUGGAACCUUUUAAGUUACUGUGUAUUUUGAAGUUUAGUGUUGGUUAAAAAAACACGACGACAUUAAAGCAGAGUUUAUUAUUCCCUCUGAAAUCUUUGUGAAAAUGUAGAAACAGCCUCAAAGUCAGGACUUGUAGUAAACUCUCGCAGUUCAUUUUUCCCUCUCCUCUGAUUCACUGAGCUCUGGCAGCCUCUGAGCUCCGUGUGUCGGCCGCGACGCAGCGAUGCGAGAUAACUCGGCGUGUCACAGGAUGCCUUUUAAUAAUAGCCCCGAUGAUAAAUUACUUUAAUCAGAGGAGCGGGCUUUUCCUGUAACUUAUGAUACAGGAAGCUUGUGAAGAGAAUUGUUAUGCCAAGCCUCAUUGAGCGUCUUAAUGUGAAUCUUUACGUGUCCACAAUUAGAUUACGGCUGUGACAUGGCGGCCGGCCCGGUGCAGGCUCUCUGACGGCUUCUUCUCAGGGCGGUGGACGGAGGCAGCAGAGAGCGAAAUGAAGAAGCGUGUGUGUGUGUGUGUGUGUGUGUGUGUGUGUGUGUGUGGAGGGGGUGCAGAAGUCAGUGAACGGAUCAAUGGAAGUCAUUAUAUGGUGCUUACCGUUUGGCCAGGUCACGGUGUGAUGGAUGUGUUGUGGCAGGUAAUGGUCCUCUGCAGCCCCCGCCUCAGCAAAUGGAGAUGAUGAACUCAGAUGUGUUCGCUUGUCAACAACUCGUACCUUCGUCUGGUUCAGCAGCCGCCAGCAGGGCCUGGAACCCGCUUCACGGUUUACACGGAGGACACGAGCGGCUGAGCGACGGUUAUAAAAACAAUUAAUUUUUUUCUUUUUUAAAUGUGACUCUAAAAACGUAAAUUUAAAUGCUUCUUUGCAGGAACCACCUGAAAAUGUCCGGGUUUUUCCGAUCAGCUGUCAUCGUGAAUGUUGCAGAAAAGUUGAGCAGCUCUUCCUCGAUUUAUUUGGUGCAUAUUCUCCACAAAAGUGUUUGGUUGACAUUGUCAGAUGUUAUUGAUUGUAUUGAUUUUCACCCGACCAAACAUGUUUACGUGAUUUUCAUGAUGUUGCAUUUGUCUGAAUAUCAUUGGUCUCUGGGUAUCUUCAGCAUUUCCUUUGACAUCUUUGAAGGUAUAUUUGUUUCCCUGAUUUAAAACCUGUUUUUUCCUACAGACUCGUGUUCACAGGCUGAUUUUAGUGAUAGAGGGUAAAGUAGGUUCAGGUGGAUUUGAUAGCUGCAUGUGGGGAAUAAGGUCAGUAAGAGUGGUCCUGGAAUUUGAAUGCUAUCUUUAUUUAGCGCAGUGGUUAUGAAUAACUUUCACAAAGUUGUGAUUUUCAAAAGGAAUUCUACAAAUCUGCCAUAUUUCGGUUCUCUCUCUUGCAGCCGAGGACCCUGAAUCUUCACCAGAGAGGACUAACAUGCUCCAGGAAUGCGUGGUGAAGAAACUCAGUUUACAGUUUAUAUGUUUUUAUUUUUAUGAGUUUUUUGUUGAUUAAUGCCUAUUUGUCACAUAUCUAUAUGGUCCCCUCAUGACACUUUUUUCCCCUCCUUUUGGACAUUACACAGUUAAAAAUAAAAGAAAACUACUUUAAUUUGUCAGGUUUUGUCCUAUUUUUUUAUAUUUUGAUGACAAGUACUUUUUCUUGAGUAUAUUAUUUCAGGUAAAAAUAACCUGAUAGCGACAGUGAUGGUGUUACUUAUUUUAGCGAUGGUGUUCUAGGGUUAAUGACAAUUUUACAGAGACGAGAGGGUAGGGUGACCUUACAUCCUCUUUUACCUGGACAUCAGUGGCGGUUGCUUUAAGACUGCAAGGGAAGCUCGGCUUCCCUUAAAAUGUCACCCCCCCAAAAAAAGAAAAAGUGGUGAAAUACGUACGGCUGUGUGUACAUUUCAUUAACUAAAUACUUACUAGAAAGCCUUCAUCUUUUGUUCAGACACUGUGAUAAGAAGCUGAUAAUCACAGGUAACCGGCAUAACUUCGUUCUCAUUCAUCCUCGCAGCGCCUCAGCGCUUCAGUCGGACGCUGGGCUUCUGCUGACUUCAAUGUGGAAGCUAAAAGUGGGUUGUUCCAGCAGCGAAACUAGACGCUCAUUGGAUAAAUGCUGGGCUUUGUCCCGCCCAAUGGAAGCUAAGCUUCACUGGAGUUCUAUGGCGAGAGGGCGGUCCCGACUUUCUCCCGGACUCCAAGCUUCUGCAUUCAUGAUUGGAUGAGCUGUCUGAGGCGAAAUCCUUUUUUGAUUGACAGCUAAACAAGCGAAUCAGCGAUCUUGAAGAAUAAAACAUCUACCAGAGCAUUUUCCAAGUUAUUCAUUCUGUUGUUCUUAACUGCUCCAGAGACUUUACCGAUCCUCAGUGACUUUUGUCUUUGUUAAAAACGACUGCCGCUGUGUUUGGCGACUCUGUUCUGUUACAUACUAAUAAACAAAUACAAUUAUGAUGUAGGCCAGAAAAAUGAGCUUCCCCUCCUUGAAAGACCAGCAGCCGCCACUGCUGGACAUGUCCUCUUUUUGGGGGACUGUCCGACCUUUUCCUGGGGAGUUUUUAAAAUCCUUUAAAUGUCCAGGGCUUGGUAUGGAAGUUUUGAGUUGUUGUAGCGUGAACUAACUGAGUUAGAAGCGCGUAAAAAACACUCAACCUGACCUGAAACCCCUCAAAAUUUACUACAGAUGACUCUGCAACUCUGCCCCGCAUAUUCAUGUCCUCUUUUAGGGGAUUCAGAAUAUGAUCACCCUACAAAAAGUUAUUUAUUAGCAUUGGAAAUUUGACAUUAAAUAACUUCUUAUAGUUUUGGGUAAAAGAAAAAAACAGAUUGAUUCCACAGAUCUUUAACAAACUGUGGUUUUUGCAGGUUUUCUUAAGAGGCUGCAGAGAAAGGAAACAAACUCAGCCUUCGCUCGGGGAUGUAAAGUGAGACUGCAUUAGCAUCAUUAACCCUUCGUGGAGAAAGAAAUCCGCUCUGCUCUUUGUGUGACAUUUUCCAAGGAACGAUGCCGCACUUCUUUCAAGAUGUUGCUUGAAAUAGCAGAGAACAUAGGAUUGUGGAGCAAAAAGGAAAACAUGUUGAGCGUCUGAAGGUCGUAAACAGCUCAUAAAUGAGAAGCAGGGAACAAAGAGCGGGGUCAAAGGUGAAGUGUUCUGCACAAAGCUGCACCAGCUUCAGAUGAAAUCAUUCAGAGGAGCUCCUGAGCUGAUUUUGUAUCACAUCACACUCGGGUUCAAUAGAGCGGCGAAUAAAAGACAUUUCUGCCUCCAGCCUCCGAGCUGUGCCGUCUUCCCGCAUUUAUCCUGUAAGUCCUUCAUUGUAUCCUGAUAAAAGCCGGAGAAAUGUUACGAAACAGCUCGGCUCGCUCCGCCACCGCCGCCAUCGCUCCCACCGCGCCGCCCUCCCUGCAGGCUGAAGGAGUGACACACAGCGGGGAUGGAGAGGCCAUUUUGUCUUUUUGGAAAGGCACUUUAGCUGCAGCCGCUCUGAGUGCUUUUAUCAUUAUACGCCACUACAGUCUGGCCAUUUGUUCUGACCUUGGGAAAUGGUUUUAAAGGUCUCACCGUGUAUGUAUGUGUGCUCCAGAAAUUGCCUGGAUUGAGACGUUCCAUGAAAAUAUGUAGUGAACGGCCUCUGUCGGCCCAGGCGGGGGUGGAUAAGGGGAAAGCUAUUUGGGGGACGGGGGCACAAUCCAAUUUGUUUGUUCACACUCCAGCAGAGCCAGAUCUGAACAAUUGAUACAUUAGGACUGGUUUUAGAGAGCAAAUAUGGCAGCCUGAGAGAGAAAGAGAGGGAGAGGAGGAGAAUAUACUGCAGAGAAGUGCUCCAAGAGUAAAUUUACCUCAUGGGCCAUUGCACAGGGCGCAAUAUGAAACUAUGAUAAAAAAGAAAUUGCUUUAUUCUUUAAGUUAUCAAUAUAAUUCUGUCUCCGUGGCUGGCCCGUCUCAUUCUGGCGGCAGGAAUCUUUUGUUACCGCGAAUUUUCUGUUGCAAAAAAAAGCAGAAGAAGAAGAAAAAAAAACGCACUUGUGAGGGUUCAUUCAACAUUCAAAGAUAAAUGCGCUCCAGGAGAGCGAUGCCUCACUCAAUUUGAAAAGCCCUGGCAUGCUGUAACAUCCAAAUCCUUCAGAGUUGAACAUGUCAUCUCUGCCUGCAGUGACAAAGGAAAUAAAUUAGGAAAAUGCAAUGUCCUUAAAUCACAAUGUGGAGCUGGGCGAGAAAAAACCCAGCCUGAGCCAAUCUUAUCAGCGAGGACGACACAGUCCAGUUCUGCACAGAGAAAAGGGACAGCUGUUAUUUCCUAUUCAGCUGCAGGAUCCCCGGGCCUGAUAGCGUCUAAUAACACGCCAUAAAUUAAAUCUGCCGCAUCAGUGCGCUCACGACGGCGUCCGCUCGGAUAAAUAGUGAGGUUCGAUGUCGCAAAACGAGAUUUUGGCAAACCAUUAUGGGAGGCUGUAGUAAUCUUUUUUUCAUUUUCAUUUGUUCAUUUAAUAGGAUUAUUCAUGAGGCAAUGAUGACAGCAUGAGGAGGACGGGCCGAUGCACAAAAAGGGAACCGGUGGCUGUUUCUGAUUUUGCACAAAUCUGAAGGUAAAGCAGCAGAUUUUUUCUUUUUUGUGGAAAGAGAAUUUGAGAACAUUUAGAGGUGCAUUUCUGACAUACUUGAACACCUGCGAGCGCCGACCAAAAAUCUGAAGAAUUCACAGAGUGGUUAUCGUAAAUUGUGGAUAAAAUUCUCGGAUUUCUUGAAUAAAAACUGGCAGCAGAGAUUCGAGGUCAUUAUAUAACACUGGACUUCCUCACAAAAGACUUUUGAAAGUUGUGUUUCAUUCGCCAACUUAUAUUUGGAGGAGGAAAAAAUAUAAUCACAGCAGAUUUUAUUUUAACAUUUGUCUUCUCUAUCAGGUCGUUUGAGAUCUUUUUUAUUUUAAAGGGUUUGUCCAUAAAGCACUCCUGAGAGCUGAGAAUUUAACUCUGGUACAAAGACGUCAACUUCGAUAAGAUCUGAGCUAAAAGAACUGAAGUUAACGUUAAAAUCUGCUCAAGCUGCCGAAGAGAGCAGCUGUGCAUCCCCCGUAUCCAAAUCCAGAGCCCUCAUCCUGGACCUGACUCUGACCCCGUUUAUACGUACCCGGUUAUUUUUUAAAAUAAGACAUUAACCAUCGUUUGCGCCCUUCGUUUAGAUGCAAAUGGAGAAUUCGCCCCUGAAAACGAUGCUUUUUAAAAACUCCGUCCAGAGUGGAGAUUUUGGAAAACUCAGUUUGCAUGUAAAGAGAGAAAAACUGAGAUGUGGGUAGCUGACGGCAGACUGUGCGCCGGAAAGAAGGAAGUGACGUUGUUGUUGUUGUUUUGUGGGAUUCUGAUUGGCUAAUAUGGGCUUGAGCUUUUCGCUACACUGCCACCUACAGGUUUGGCAUGCUCUUGACAGCAUAUACACAUAACUCUUCUACUAACGUAGUGGUGUGAAUGCGUCUUUUUUUGUAAACAGAGAGGGUGAAAUGUCAGUUUAUGAAAACAGCCGGGCACGUGUAAAUGUAGUCUCAGACCUCAGCCUGAGUUUGAUUUAGAGAAAUGACUCUAAAGUUUUUCUUUCUCUUUAACAAACUUCUCUGUGUGUGGAAAAAAAGGGCUCACAAACAAACAGGUCUUGUAUUCGAGGCAGGCCUUAAUAUGAAACCUCUGAGUCUGAGCUACAAAUAGAGUCCAUGGCUUUUGUUCGUUCUAAACUUGUGCAAACCGGUUAAAAAAGACAUUAAGUAAUUCACAAAGCAUGCACAAAAUGUUAACUCCAACUCAACCAGUUCGAUCAUGAAGUACCUGUGAUGGUCUGUGUCUCAGGAGAACCAAAGGAGGCCGAUAAACGCAGAAACCAAAGCUUCAUGACAUCCUCCACAGAUCCACACCAAAGAGGAUCCAGAUCAAGUGUGAAUGACGCAUAAAUCUAAAGUCAAAACUCGUCUCGGGGGAUUAAACUUGAAGUCUGGUAGAAGCAGAUGUCAUCUCCACCCUGUUGACUUUAGUUGAAUUUUCGCUGCUUUAGAAUAAACUGUGUCUAAACUCCCCUCUGACUGUAAAUUAGUGCUGUGGAAACUGAGCCGGAGCACACAGGCACUGCUGCUGCCAAUAGCUGGAUGUUUCUAAUUACUCAAAGCCUCAUUUAACAAACCGUUCAUUAGUGACACCCACUGGUAAUAAUAAUUUAAACUUCAUAAAUAUCAUCUUUCAUAUCCUGCUGCCACAGCACUUCACAUUACUGUUGUGACUCCAGCAACUCUGAAGGUUUUCGAGAAACUUCUGAACUCUAGUUAACAUGAAAAAGUGAUUUUCACUGAUUUAAUUCGGUCACUUUGGGGAAAACGGUCUCAUUUUAAAGACAAAGUUAAAUAUCUGUUUUUGUUCAGGGAGACAAACUUCAGUUUCUGGAGUUUGGAAAGAGGAAAGUUGUCCUUAAUAGUAUAAACUCUUUAAAACAAAGGACGCAACAUCUGUCAUUUCCAAUUCUGCAUUGAAGGGCAAGUAGAGUGGUCUCCCUAUUCUUUAAAACUGAGGUCGCAGCAUCUAUUGUUUCCAGUUCUUUGUUGAAACACAAGUGGGUUGGACCUUCUACUCUUUAAAACAAAGGAUGCAGCAUCUAUGUUAUUCAAUUCUUCACAAAAAGGACAUGCCAGGGGAACCUUUACUCUUUCAAACUGAGGACACAGCAUCUAUCAUUUCCAAUUCUGCGUGGAAAGGACACGCUGGGUAGACCCUCAACCUUAAAACUGAGGAUGCAGCAUCUAUGAUUUCAAGUUCUUUGUUGAAACACAAGCGGGUUGGACCUUCUGCUCUUAAAAAAUGAGGAUACAGCUUCUAUGAUUUCCAAUUCUUCAUUGAAAGGACAAGCUAAAUGGACACAAAACUCUUUGAAACCAAGUGGCGCAUUACCUAUAAUUUCUAAUUCUUCGUUAAAGGGAAAGUCAUGUUGACUCUACCCUGCAGUAUCUAUGAUUUCCAAUUCUUUGUUAAAAGGACAAACUGUGUAACUCUUUCAUCUCUGUAAAACCAAGGAAGCAGCAUCUAUAAUUUCCAAUUCUUUGUUGUGAGGACUAGCUGGAUGGACCCUCUACUCUCUAUGACUGAGGACGCAGCAACUAUGAUUUCCAGUUCUUUGUUGAAACACAAGCCGGUCGGACCCUCUACUCGUUAAAACUAAGGAUGCAGCAUCUAUGAUUUCCAAUUCUUCAUUAAAGGGAACGGCUGGUGGACCCUCUACUCUUCCGUAUCUAUGAUUUUCAAUUCUUUGUUGUUUGGACAAGCUGGGUGGAUCUUCUACUCUUUAAACUGAGGAGGCAGCAUCUAUUAUUUCCAAUCUUUGUUGAAAGGUCAAGCUGGAAGGACCCUCUACUCUUCAGUAUCUAUGAUUUUCAAUUCUUCGUUGAAAGGACAACCUCAUUGGACCCUUUACUCUUUAAAACUAAUGAUGAAGCAUCUAUGAUUUUCAGUUCUUCGUUUAAAGUCCAGUUGUCCUUUCCAUGCGUUGAUUUCCACCCCAGAGUCCUGUCUGUCUUUAAUACCCUGAAGAUCAGGACCGUCCAGUCCUGGUUUUGGUCCUUACGUACAGAGAUUUCUCUGGUUUUGUUUUUUUCUUUCCCAGCUUUUGCGAAAUAACUUCCUUUGCAUCAAAUCUAAGACGUGUAAAUAUUCAUUUUCAGUCAACAACUCUUUUUAUUUUCAACUUCUGAUUUGCUGUCCCUGCCUUAUUUUCAUUUAAAUGCAGAGUCUGAACCAUCAUGAGCAUUUUUUCUUUACUUUUUACCCACCAUCCAAACUUUUUUCUGACUCCAGGUUGCAUUUCCACGGCAGAAUCGCUGAAUUAUGAACGUACGAAUCUGUUAGCGAUAUAAUAUCUCAUGCACAGACUCUGCGUUGUCAGACCCGGCAGACAAACCAAAGUCAGACUGGUGUAGCUCGGAGCCCCGUUUUCUUCCUCGCUCCUCUCUUUUGUCUCUAAGUAACACUCAAAAUAAAAAGCCUCUUAAUCCAUCUUCUCCUGCAUACAGCCUCUUUCCCAGGCAGCAGAAAUGGUAAAGUACAUAAGUCUGCAGCGUGGAGUCAGCCUUCUACAGAGGAACCAUCUGUCUUCAUCAUUCUCUGGGCACAAUUGAUCUGCAGCACUCUGGAAAGUAUUUAUUAUGAAAAGUCUCAUUUUUUAAGCGGCCCGUUUAAAGCAGCAGCGGCCAUAAAUCACCCCUGAAUCAGAGCGAAUCAGAGCAGCCCUCCAACUGGAAUCCAUUAUUUCUAUUAUAUCAGCUCUAAGUGGACAUAACAGCUUAAUCCAGUAUCGAUCUGAGCAUGUGCGCUGGUCAUCCCAUCCAAUCCGGCCCCGAUCUCCGAGAUGCUGCGUGACGAGCCUCGCAUCUGCUCUCACUUUAAAUAAUCACGGAGGAGAGUCUGUGAGCUAGUUCGGCUAACUCCUUCCUCAUUAGAAAGUAAUAAAUAACGCGUGUGUGUGUGUGUGUGCGUGUGUGUGCGCGUGUGUGGGGUCUAAUCCUGGCUAAUACUCUGUUUAAUACCGGAGAACUUCAGCGAGCUGGCAGUGCUGGUAAUUAAGUGAGCAGCAGUCUGUUCUGAUGGCUCUCAUACACACGGGCAUAAAUUAUUGAAGUGCCGUUAAAAUAAAUAAUAAAGUCGAUCGCAGCAUUUUGGAUGUGGGCGGGAGGUUAAAUUAUGCAUGAGCUCAAUAUUUGUAAGUGUAAUAGGAAGUAAGUGUGGUGGUUUUUAAACCGCGAGGAAAUAAAUCCCCCUCCCCAGUGCUAAUAGCCAGAUUUAAUUUAAGAGGAGAAAAAAACUCUGGAGUCAAAGUCGACGGCAGAUAUCAGAGUAAACAUACACGAAAUGAUGCCGCGGCGGUCUCCCAGGGAGUGUUUACACAACACGCCAGGAUGCCUGGUUCAGAUUUUUGAUGAUGUUUCACAGCCUGAGCUCCGACUGCUGCUGCUGCAGGAGGAGGAGGGCUGCGAUGGUACCAGGAUCAGGAGUGAGAGUUAGCCUCGGGGCUCUGGACCUGACCGCUCAGAUUUUGUAAUGUUAGCACCUUCUCGAUGUCGAAGAAAAUCUGACAUUUACAGCAUCUGAAACUAAAAUUCAUGGCAUUUAUGAUCUUCAAACAACGCUCUAAUGCUGUGUUCCAGUUGUACUCGGAAGUCAGGAUUUCUGAGCUCCGAGUCGCAAAUUCAUCUGGAACACCCCGAAGUCGGAUGCUUUUCACCAACCCUGACUUAACGACAACGUCAUAAUCCAAGAUGGCAGCGCAGUGCAUCAACAGUAAAGAGUAACAGUAAAAGAUCUCGUAAUGUUUUAUUUAUUCACACUUCUGUUUUGUUUUUGUGAAAUUGAAUAAGUGGUUUAUGUUGUACGGCCCAACGUCUAACUGUGAACACGGUGCUGUGGUGUUUGUCAGAGUAAAAUACUGUGUUAUGUGCGGUGAUGUGCUAAACUGGUAUAGCUAACAACAACUAACAACAGCUGAGAACGGCUAACAAUCGCUAAUAACAACUAAUAACAACAAACAACGGCUAACAACAGCUAACAACGGCUAACAACAGCUGACAAUGGCUAACAACAGCUAACAACAACUAACAACAGCUGAGAACGGCUAACACUCGCUAAUAACAACUAAUAACAACAAACAACGGCUAACAACAGCUAACAACGGCUAACAACAGCUGACAAUGGCUAACAACAGCUAACAACAACUAACAUAGCUGAGAACGGCUAACACUCGCUAAUAACAACUAAUAACAACAAACAACGGCUAACAACAGCUGACAAUGGCUAACAACCACCAACAAUGGCUAACCACUAACAGCAGCUAACAACAGCUGACAAUGGCUAACAUCCGCCAACAACUACUAACAAUGGCUAACAAUUGCUAACAACAACCAACAACAGCUAACAGUGGCUAAUGACUGCUUACAAUUGUAAACAACAGCUUACAACUGCUAACUGUAGGCGUCCAUCUUGUUUUUUUGACUUGUUAACAGGAACGCCGUCGACUCGGGUGUAACGUCAUUCCCAUUUCCGACAUCUGACUUCUGAGGUAACUGGAACGCAGCUUUAACAUCCGCAGCUCUGUGCAGUUUGCUCUUGUUUUGCAGGUGAUUGUAAGGAGGAGCUGUCAGCAUCUACAUCGAGCUGGGCUGUUCUCCUUUUUUAUCUGCUCAGCGCCCAAUCCUGACCAGAGUCCUGUCAACAUACUUCCUAAAAAGGUCAGUCUUGGACCUCCAUCUUUGUAGUUUCAGAGUAUUUACAGAGACCUAACACAAGCACACCUCCGACAAGCAAGCUGGCAAAGAUGGUUCAAACUCCGCCCCCCUCCCCUAAAAAACUGCACAAGUAUGUUGUUUUACAGAAUGGUGCAUCAACACUUCAAAAUAGCUUUCUUGGAUUGUUGGUGAGACUGGAAUAGACCCACAAACACGGUCCUUGUAUGUCUCCAAACCGACAUGAGCCUGGAGUCUGAGCCAACCAGACGAGCUCCGACAAACACACGAGAACGGAAAUAUCUCGUGAAAUUAAUGAGUUGUGUUUGGCAGAUAAUGGAGCGUCCAUGUUUGACAUCAUGAUUUGUUGUGUGAGGUUUUUUUUAGGAGAGAAGUUUUCAGCUUUUGGGCUCCAUCCCGUCAAACCCCAGCUGACUCUCGUGUGGAUAACUAGAGAUCAGGGUGGAACAAAGCGCUAAUGAUCAGAUCUUUAUGUUUGUGGUGAACGUGUAGGAAGAUUGUUUUUGUUGUUUUUAAUAAAGAAGAAGAGUCAGUUUCCUUCUUUUUCCACUCUCUGUGAGCUCACUGGAGUUUGAGUGGAUUCUGUCUCCAAGUGUAGACCCGUUUGUAUGACCAACAUGUAUGGACACACACAAACACUCAGGUUGAUUCUCACCAGUAAUGGCCUUCAGCCUCCCUCCUCCGUCUGGUCGAUAAAUAGGCUGAAACCGAGCGUGAAAUGAAAAGCAAGUGAACAGCGUGAAAUGGGACUAAAGUUGGGAAAAUGGACGUAUUUAUCCUUUUGUUUUUGAAGGAGGCUGGGGAAAUAAUGGCACAGUUUUUACAUAAAACCAUGCAAUCUUCACAAACAGCCCCGAUAUUACACUUAUUUUUCACGCCCUGCUCCUGUUUUAUUCCGUGUUAUAAUGGAUCAUUGUCGGUGACGGAGGUCUGCUGUUGUUUCAGUCUGAUAUGCAAAUGAGAACAACGCCGGGAAAUUACACAAACAACGAGUUAAGACGACAAUGCAGAAAUGCGCAGGCUCAGAGAGGGUCAACGUUUCCCUUCAAUGUUGAUUUUCUUUCUUGUAUUUUUGUAAUAACCAUUUCACCGACUGUUAAGGCAUGACAUGAAGCUUUAUUGACUUCAUUUAUGAUAGUGAACCGCUCCUUUUUUAGAGCCUUUGUGGUUUUUCCUGCUAAUGCAGCUUUGUGCAACUUUUUGUGGACUUUUUCAUCUUUACUGCAGACCGACUUUAACAGUAAGCACAGUAAGAAACUAUAUUAUCAAAGUUAUCUUUGCACACUUGCUUUCUGUAAAUACAGAAACAGAAAAAAACGUGAAGAACUUUCUUUCUUUCAUGGUUACAAAUAAUGAUUUCAUGACGGGUAAAUUGCAGGGUGCAGCUCUUUGAAGGGUAUCAUUAACUUGCGAAACUCUGAGAUAAAUCUCUCAAUCCUGUUACAUUUAUCUGUGUUCACAAAGCUGGGACACAUUUCUUCAGAUGUAACCGUACACCACUGACCGGAUUAUCACAGAUUAAUUUACAACGAUGUUAUAGAUGCUGAUGUGAUAUUGGACAAUGUUAAAAACAGUAAAAAUAGCAAAAAUAGAAAAAGAGUUUGUAUUGUUGACUGUUGAAAUUCAUCUAUAAAGUAUGUUAAAGAUGGUGUAGUCAGGAUCUGAGUUAGUUCCAGUUUUUUAGGAGAAAUCUUGAAUGUAAACUCUACCCCUCCCAACCAGUUUUCCCCUCAGCUCCUCCUCUCCCCUCCCUCUCUGCUCCAACAAGCCCCGCCCACAAAUGGAUAAAUACUUCAGAUCAUUACAAAUGGGGCCCAGUCAAGGUGAAAGUCAAAAGCACUGGUGCUACUGUAGAUGCCAACAGACUACCAGCAAACACAAUGUUUGCAGGACUUCUACAACUAGGAUAAAGUGACAUAGUCCAGGACCCGAGGGAGGACAGUUUAGCGAUGGUGCUACAACACGCUACAGCAGGUCCGUUUGACAAGAAACACUUCUGUUACAGACACUUGUCUUACUUUGUUAAAGCGGUUUACCUGUCCAGCAGAAAGGUUACAGGGUCACCAAGAUCCCCAAGCGUCCCCCAUCGUUUAUGUUGACCCGGCUUUUUAGCUCUUGUCCGGUCUACCUCCGUUUUAAGCGCCCGUUAUUCCUCCAGAGUCUCCGGUAUUUACUUUGUUUUCUUGCUUGUGUCGGCAGUCGUGGCCAAAGGAGGAUUCAGACAAUUUUCCGAACUUUCUGGUUGGUUUCUACUGUCCGAUAUUGUAGCACGCUAACUUUGUUUGGGCUCCUGAACGACACUGGGGAGCAGUGUCUGCCUCACAACCAAUCAGGUUAGAGGAGGUGGAGAACGGCUUUGUUUACAGUCAGAAAGAGCGGACCGCUCAAAAAUGUUCAAAUGUUGACGACACAGACAUAAGAGAACACAGAGAUAUCGAUAUAUUACCAAAUGUCAUCAAUAACUAAUAACUAUUGACUGAUAUUAAAAGCCUUUUUGUAAAUACAUCACAAAAAAAGAUGCUUUUUUUGCAGAAUCCUGCCUACCCCACCUUUAAAUAGUAAAGUGUAAGUUUAUAUCGGUAAUCUCUUGGUUUUGUCAAUAUCAGACACUCCCAGUUAUAGCCAGCAGGGGGAGCAUGUUGCUUUUCAACAGCAUAUUUCUCCCCUUGCAGCACACUGUGCAGGGGUGUAACACCAGCAAAUAUUCAGUUUGUGUUGAUUUGGCGCCCCCUGUGGACAAGCUCGUCCCUUAAUCCAGGUGCCGACACUAAAAACCCAAAACUAACAAAGUCAUCUGUUAUGAUUUACGCCUCUCCUGAACCGGAGACCUCAUUCAUUUGUCAUCCAGUAUAAAAUCCAUGACUCCAUGCAGCCAAGCCCACCCAAUGCAUCAUGGGAAAGUUCAUCUGCACAAGGUUAGCACAGAAUUGAUCUCAGACGGCGAGUAUUGUGUGUGCCCGGGUGUUCAAUAGUUUUAAAAGAAAAAAACGACAAGAGCUCAACAUGCAGGUUUAUUCUUCAAACCAAGCAUGGAGUGUGUGUUUGUUUGCAUGUCAGCGUGCAUGUGUGUGUGUACGUGUGUGUGUGUGUGUGUAUUUCGACACAAUUAAAACGUCCUCUCAGCGCCGGGUGCCAAUGCAUCACCCUGAUGACAGUGGACAGGCUGUUUGCUUUGCUGCCGCUGAUAUCGAGCUUAAUGAUGUUGUCCUUCAGUGAGGCUGCUGAGGCUGACCUGCCCAUCGCUGAGGCGUGGCAGCUGGCGUGUGUGUAAAUGCGUGUGUGUGUGUGUGUGUGUGUCAGACUGAAGCUGUGGUCAGAUGCUGAGGUGAGGCGCCGCCAGCAGGGACUCUAGAUGUCAAACAGAUAGAAUCAGAUCAUGUUGUUUGACAUGUGGAGCUGCAGGAGGUGAAGAUAGACGGUAUCACGGCUGAUCGGAAAAAUCUGAUCCUGUGGAGGUGGGGUUGGUGUUGGUGUGACUCCUCAGUGUGGAGAAAAGCCUCCAGGAGCUGCGGUGUCAUUUCGAUGAUAAAUGUGAUAGACUCGCUUCUGGGGAAACCUUUAAAGUUGGAGGAAGAGAGAUCCUGUGACUCUUAGAUUUCCAGCUCAGCGUUUCUCCGUACUUUUGCGUCACACAUUCGAGUCACCUGACAAGAACUGAGCUAAAACAGCACCCCGGGGAGAAGAACCUGAACAGCGUCCCCCUGAUUAGACCGUCUAAAGUCCGUCAGGAUUGUAAAUAUGCAGUUUAAGGUUUUCCUUGACCCCCUAAAACUCUGCUGGAUCACCAGCGAUCCCACGUGAAACCAUCAAUAUAGUUUACAGUUUCUCAGGAACUAUAUCGUUUAUCUCUACAGGAUAAAAAGUGUUCAAAAGUUUUCCCUUUUGGCGAUCUAUCGAGGGUUUCCAGAUAUUUCUACACCUGCUACAAGGUUUACAAUCCAGCCACAAAAACAGGUGUUUGAUCAGAGACGUUCACUAUCUCUAAAUGUCUUCCGGAUGACGUCUUUUUCUGUCAAACUUUCGACCAAUUACAUGGUCUCAUAUUCUUCUUCUAUUGUUCCCUUGAUGGUAGUGUCCCAUAAGAGGCGACCAAAGAUCAACAAGAGACAAGAAAGUUCCAAGAAAAAUCAGAAAUAAUGGUCCUCAGUGUUUGGAAACAAGCAAAGAAGAGAUUCUCAUCCCAGAGUGGCAAAAUAAGAAUGAAAAUAGUCAAAAACACCUGGAAGAAUGAGUGUAAAUAUGUCAAUAGUUUCUGUUGUGUGUUUGUUACAGUCCCAAUAUUUCCUCUCCUGAUAGACAAGACUUGAGAGAAUGAUGUUCAGGUGAGAAAAGGCUCGGUCACUGUAGAUUUAUGUGGUUUUUGAGCAAAGAACUGUUGGGAUCUGUUGGUUGACUUUGAUGGUUCUGGAUCUACUGUCACAUUCAUUUUACAUCAUUUUUGCAACAAUAGAAAAAAAAAAAAGGAUGUUUAUAUAUUUGCUGUGCUUAAAGGAUUGAGUUGCUACAUAGAUUUUUACAAAAACAAAAAACAGGCGGACCAAAAAUAGCAAACUAUAGCUGGGAGUUGUAAGGGUUAAAUGCAGAGGAGUGUUGGGAGUGUGCACCUCUGCAGAGAGAGUUUCAUCCUGCAGGAGCCGCCGUCCUUCCCCCUCACUCUGACAGAAACAUGAGGAACAGCAGAUUGUUGAUAAAUGUGAGCGUGUGUAAAUGUCUCCUGAUGUACAGUCAGCAUAACCGGCUCUGAAUUAUCCUCUCUUUCAUUACACUAAUGGCUCAGCGGCGUGCAGCAGAGCGGCUGCAGAGGAAGAGCGAGUCGAGGAGGAGGAGGAGGAGGAGGAAGGAAAUGAUUAUUUUCAGCGGGGUUUCACAUACAGGUGGGAAAAGGGCAAACUCUCAGCUGGUGACGUUCAUCAACCGCCGCUGUAAAGGUCACGCCAUGUCUCUCGACGUGCACCCGAACCCGAAGGCGUGUUUACCCCUGCUGGGCGCCCACCACCCCUCCUCCACAACUAUGCAUCUCCCCAUCCUCUGAUUUUAUUAGCCCCCGUGGGAGAGCGGCUGAAAAGCGUGUAAACACACAGCGCUGGUUUAAUAUCCUCAUUCGGGGGCCUGAUGAGGCUGUUUUAGUAAAAAUCAACAUUUAAACAGCUCUGACACGGCGAGCAGCGCUGACCUAUUUCACCAUCUGCUGCUUCGCUUUUGUUUGUCUGUUUUUGUCAGGAACAAUCCCGCCACUUUCCCCCCUUGAGUUUGAACCAGUCAAACUCAAACACGUCCGGGCCGAGCUGAGCGAUUAUGACUCCGCUUCUGCGGGACGUCUGCUAAUAUAUGGACGGUCCCGCCUCGCUCCACGUCAUUAAUACCUGUCCGCGGGUCCUCUGUGUGCUUACAUCAUGGCGUGCCUGCUCAGCAGAAAGCCAACAAACACAUUAAGGUGAUGAAUCGCUGAGAUCAUGGCACUGGGGGGAAAGUGGGGCAGCGGUCCGAUGUUCUGAUGUGUCACUGGAUCUCAGACGGAGCCAACCCGACCUUUGACCUCGACACAGCGGCUCAGGACAAAACUGGGAUAAUGGGAACUUUUCUGCACGCUGUGUGGGCGUUAAUAAGAUCGGGAACACGGACAAAAAGGCGUGAAGGAUUAUUAAAGACCUGGAGGACCUUUACGCCGUCAUGCUCAGGCGGUAAAACACGAAAUUAUAACCGGGUUUUAUUUAAGGUGGAGCCGCAAAGACCUGGAUUAACCUGUCUGUGAGUUUUAACAUGAAAAUACUCCUCUGUUAGAUGAUCUGCUAAUCUGACUCCAACUCUGGACUACACCGCUCAACACUGCCCCCAUGAUUUCCAGUGGUACUACACGCCUUCCAGUGUUUAUGUAUGCAAAACAAGCGAAGAGCAAAAAUGAGCCUUAAGUCUGUUUCUAAAGGUCAGAAAACAAACAAAACAAACUCACAUGUCAAAGUUCAACAGAGGUAAAUGACCGGAGCUCCGACUGUGUGUGUGUGUGUGUGUGUGUGUUUGGUCUGAGUCAUGAGUGUACGUUUUGGCACAUUUACAUGUCUGUUAAGGGGAUAUCAACUACUUUAAUCAUUUAUGUCAUUUAAAGAUGUAAAGAAGUGAAGCAGCACUCACACACAAACAACAGCAAAAAGAAAACCCCCAAAACCUGUCCAAUAAAUAAAGAUAUUUCACCUCUAAUAAAGGACCUGAACUGCUUGUAAUGAGUUAAAAAGAAACAGCAACAACAACUUAUGGUCUUAAUUUGGGAUUACAUAUAGAAUGGUGGAAAUAAAAGUUGAAGACGAGGGCAAACAAGGUGCAUCAUCAGGAGAUACUGCAGGUGCAUUCGCAGUUUCUCCUCAUGGACCUUGUUUGCCCUUGUUUUCAACUGUUAUUUUCACCAUCGUUACAGAUUCAAAAACACCUGCUGAAUUCAAAAAACACAUGAAAAAGUAAAAAAAAAAACCACAUGCAAAAGAUCAAAAACGAAAAACAAAAGUUCAAAAACCACAUGUGAAAAUUUAAAAAACACAUGCAAUACUUUGAAAACAUGCAAAGGUUUGAUAACCACAUAUAAAAGUUUGAAAAGCAAAUGCAAAAGUUCAGAAAACACAUGUAAAAAUGAAAAUGUGCUGGAAAUGAAAAAGUACUUCAAAAAGAACUAAAACAGCAACAUGAGCAGCAAACAUGCUGCGAAACCCUCCAAAGCUGAAACCAGCUCCAAAAAUGACAAAAACUGCAAAUAGACAAUAAAUAUAUUUUUGAACAGAAGUCCUCCAGGCCUGUAGGGGGCGCUGAGUGACACAACAAUAGCCAGAGCUGCAUCACUGCAGGAUGAAUUAUUAACAAAUAACAGACCUAAAGAAUAAAAAAACGGACAUGUACCUGAGUUCUGCACACAUCCACAUGUGUGACAUUUAAUCCUCAUUCUUUAUCCUCACUUGUCCCUCAGGGCCACCGUACAUUUAACCUACAGCAGUUCAUAUUUAAAUCUGUUUUUUACUGUACCUCUCCUGCUUCUCCCUUUUUUUUACUCUAGUACAGUUUUCAUUAUACAGGCAGUUGCACACAGACUGUGUUCCUCCUGAGAACAGAGCACCUUUUUAUUUUCUGUACAGCUCUCUCUCUUUCUCUCUCUCUUUCUCUCUCUCUUUUCUUUCUCUCUUUCUCUUUCGUGUCGUUUUGAAAACUUUAUCGUCAGUUAACUUUUCUUCGUACUUUUCACAGAUUUCCUCUGAUUGCUGGGCGUCAUAAAGAGGUGAAGCCGAGGGCGAAUCUCGUCUAAUCUAAAACUCAAAGUGAGUUGAUGUGACUCUGUGUUUUUCUCACCAUUCAGCACAUAGACGGGUCCGUUUUCGUACAUUAAAAUGUUUAAUUAAAAGUUUUACUCCACUUUUGGCAGGAGCUAACCCUAUUUGUGGACACUCGCUUCCUCGGCGUCAGUGUGUGUGUUGCUGUGUUUGCAUCUCCGCAGCCAACACACAAGGCUGAAAAGCUGCUGGAGAGCAGACGAUCCAACAAUCCUGAGUCAUUUAGAUCUGGAUAAAAGCCUUUUGUACACAGCCUGUUUCUCCAGAAAGCUAAUUAAAAAGCCAAACUUCAUGUCUGCUCCUCGGCACUUUGCACGACAUUGAUUACGAAUUGAAUUUAAGACAGAAAUAUGCCUUCAAGAUGUUAAGCCAGGAUGAGAACUUAGAGGAACCGUGCACUUCCAAAUUAACUAGCUACAAAGACUCUCUGUGGUGCGUUUCUGACUCCGUCUGUUUGCGCAGCUCUCCAGCGAGGUUUUGUUGGGGGAUUAGGACCUGGCUGCUCCCUCAGUCAGCAGGUGUUUUGGAGGCUGGAGCUCCUUCUGUAUUUUUAUCAUAUAGGCCGCUGCACCCAUUCAGUCUGCGGCCCCUCUGUGAUUUAGCACACGGGGCUUAGCGCGGCGAGAGGAGGAGGGGGGGGCUCGGCCUACUUUAUCAACGUUAAUUUCAAAGUCUCGACCUGCUUGCUCAGCGGAUUCAGGCGGCGGCGGCGGAUUCCUCCUCUGCUGGCCUCCUUUUUUUUUUUUCCUGCCGCCUCAGCAGCCCCGUGGACCGGAGCGCCCUCGACGAGCUCCGUAAAGCUCCGGGACUCAGCAGGCCAAGACCUGAUUUUCCACCUCGUGUGUGUGUGUGAGUGACAGCUGCCGGCUGACACGCCGGACGCAGCUGACCACUAAAUGUUUUGAUGUUUUUCAGCAGAUUUUCAGCGUCUUUGUUUGUUCGGGGAGCUGCUGUUCACGGCGGCGGAGCAGAACUGAUGAUCACGGCCGGCGAGAAACAUCCAUCGCUGUUUCUCUGCGGGGGGCGAUUUGUUCGUCGUGCUGGAGGGUUAUUGACAGCAGCUACACACACACACUCACACACACUCUCACACACACACACAGAAAGAACAUAACACGGAUCAUUUCUUUUCACUGAUGAAAAAUAUUCCUCGCUGUGGGAAACAGUCCAGGAGAAAAUGAAUGAAGUUCUACCUGAGCUGCUCCAUUAAGACGAUGAAACCAACUUCAUCUUCAUCCUCCAGGUUUCAGGAGACGCUGACUGAGCUUCAAAAUAUCUAAUGAGGUGUCACAAAGCUUACUACCUGGACCUGAUCAACCUGAUGUGUUUCUGUACAGCUCAUAAACAACUGUGCCACAAACACGACCAUCAAUCUCGCCCUGAAAUAACGGAGGUUUGGUAAACAGCGGCGGGAGUCGGAGUAGAGUUUGUUACACGAGAACUUAAAGGUUAGUCCGUUAAAGAAGCGUCUUUUUUGUGGUGUAAAUACAAAAAAGUGUUUAAUAUCAGUCAAUAGUUAUUAGUUAUUGAUGACAUUUGGUGAUACAACGAUAUCUCUGUGUUCUCUUAUGUCUGUGUCGUCAACAUUUGAACAUUUUUCUGACUGUAAACAAAGCCGUUCUCCACCUCCUCUAACCUGAUUGGUUGUGAGGCAGACGCUGCUCCCCCGUGUCGUUCAGGAGCCCAAACAAAGUUAGCGUGCUACAAUAUCGGACAGUAGAAACCAACCAGAAAGUUCGGAAAAUUGUCUGAAUCCUCCUUUGGCCACGACUGCCGACACAAGCAAGAAAACAAAGUAAAUACCGGAGACUCUGGAGGAAUAACGGGCGCUUAAAACGGAGGUAGACCGGACAAGAGCUAAAAAGCCGGGUCAACAUAAACCAUGGGGGACGCUUGGGGAUCAUUAAUCAUGAGUGAACUACACCAUUUGAACGAAUAGUGAACUGAAUGAAUAAAUAAUCUUAUGGUCUUAGAGAGUUUGCUCUUUUUUCGGAUGUGGACUCACUCAUCUUCGCUCUGAAUCCACUCAUCUGGUUGAGUGUGGGUUAGGGUGUGGGUCACUGUAUUCGGAGUCGGACUAACGUUAGCUUCCAGCUAGCUGCAACAUGUUUAGCAUUCAGGUGAUACCGGAGUCUUGUUGCAAAUUUCUUCAUUCAUUUUUUGAUCCGCUGGGUGGGACCGGAAUCACUGCUGCACUGACUCACAUUGGGGUGCGCCGUUAAAAGCGGUAUACCUAAAACUCGUCCGGUGAGAAACGUUCCGCAGUGCGAUUAAUAUGCAUAAAGGGAUAUUCGGGCGUAAAACUAAGUUAGAGUCAAACACACCGUAACACAGAGUUAGACCCCCCCUCCAGAGAUGAAUGUUGUCGACCGCUUGCUUCUCUAGUUAUACCAACUUUAGUAACGACUGCAGGAUAGCAAUACAGAGAGCCACGCCCUCAACCAAAACGCCGUCUCGGUCUGAUUGUAUUUCCAUGAAGAAAUUAUAUUCUAUUCAAUUAUUUUAUUCGAUUAGCAUUUAAAAUCCACCCACAACAGAUACAUAGUAAAUUUCAAAAGCAUCAUAAAGCUAAUCGAAAAGGUGUAGGCUGAAGCUCAUGCUUAUUUUGCCUACCCUUUUUACAAAAAACAAAAACUUUAGCAAGGCGACUCUUUAACUACAUGGUCUGAGUUACACCACAAGUCUUCUAAAGAAAAGGGAAAAAGAAAGAGAGAAAAGAUAAAUUCUCAAAAACAUGUUAGAAAAUAAAUAAACCAACAAUAUUCCGUAACAAGUAUACAAACAGACACAACCAAACCAAGAAAUGAUCAUAAAUGUUCUUCCUUGAGCUGCGUCACCCCGCUGUAGUCUGUAAAGGACUGGCCUGAGGUCUCGCUACAAACAAGCAGCUGCUGGAAGAGAGUAGGUGAGUUGUGUUUAGUCUCUUUGCUAAAGAAAUGAGUCAAAGUUAAAAAGAUGUUUGGUGUCUAGUACUAUGGCUGUGACCCUAUAUGUCCUGUUGAUGAAGUUAGGUGCUGUUCUGAGCAUUAUUUGUGGCUAUAGAGUGGCGUUUUGGUUGAGGGCGUGGCUCUCUGUAUUUCUAUCCUGCGGUCGUUACUAAAGUUGGUAUAACUAGAGAAG